UAUAAUGUCACGAGAGCUAGUACCGUUGCCAAGCAGUAAUUAGUAGUGCUGAGUUUAGAAUAGGAAACGGAUCCAGGAGUCGAAAGAUAGAAAAAAUACUGAAGUGCGAGUGUCCGUAUGGAAACAGCAACCAAAAGCAUGUAACAGGUCCCAAACAAGGAAAGUGUUAUGAGAAUAAACAAGGACAUUGAACGGCUGGGUAGGAGAUACGCUGUUAAAACAGUUGUUGCCCAAAAGGUUAAAGUGUUGUAUAACCAAAACAUUGUGGACACGUCUAGUAUAUUUUCUAUUUUUUUUUCUUCAGCGGGUGGAGGACUUGGUACGGGUCCAGUGCUGGUUGAACCUAAAGAUAUGUCAUACGUGAGAUGGAAAUUCUGGGAAUUUGAAAUGGUAUCAGGCUGCUUUGGAGGGUUCAAAGUGGCAGUGUAUGUGGCUGUUAUAAUUAGCACUGUGACUACUAAAAAUGUGUUACGCGUCUCAUGUGGGAUUCCCUUCUUUCCACGACUUGCUAUUGUUGCAAUUUUUUGAAGAACUGACACCUUUCCUUUUAAAGAUUCGAUGGGGAUUGAAGAGAUGGAGGCUUUGGGAAGCGAGGAAGAGGAACCACGCAAACCUCCUGCUUUGCUUAUCAUAUCUUUAAUGGACUCCUUAUAGUCCACUCUCCCUUCAUCCAAUGGGUAUUGUGAUGGGAUAUCAAGUGCAGUCAAUCCCUCCGCAUUUUUGGCAUUGAUAUGGUCUCCACACAAGCGUUUCAGCAGUACUUUUACCACCUGUUAAUUAGAAUAUUCAUACAAGUAACCUUUGAGUAUAUAUAUACAUAAAUAAUUUUACUAGCAAAAUUAUCAUACCUGAGGUCUGUUUCUGAUAGUAGCAACAUGUAAAACAGUGUUGCCAUCAAUGUCUGCCCAACUCAGUAGUUCUUUCUCCCAACGGUUGGCAGCUUUAUGGCGGCUCCUUAUAAGCCACCCCACCAAGACUUGGAAAGCUUCAAACCUGUCAUUUUUUACGGCAAGAUGGAAAACCGUCUCAUCUCGAACAGUCACAUCUUCAAUAGCCUCGGGGCAAACCUCAAGGAACUUGAUCAAAAAAUCAACAUUUCCAUUUUGAACCACAUGAUGCAAAGGAGUGAAGCCCUCCCGCCCUUUGACACGAACAAGGCCUUCAUCAAACCUGAGGAGUCGAAGCACUGCUAGAGUUUUUUGAUUUUGCAGAGCCAAGUGCAUGGGGCUAAACCCAGCUUGGUUUAGCUUUCUUGCAAACGAUGGCUUUAAGUUGAUCAUCUCCAUCAUAAAAUCAAUAUGCCCUGCAGAAGCUGCUACAUGCAAAGGAGUAUGGAAAAAAGGUACAUCAUCGAUACGCUGUAAAACAUAUGGAUCAUUCAGAAUUAACUCAUACAAGAUGUUUAUGUCUCCUGUUUGUGCAGCACCUAUCAUCCUCUCAUCCAUAGCAAGGUGCGGAAAUUUGCAGAAUAUAGAAAUGGAGUGAAGAAAAAACGCUUUAGCAGAGGAUAUGAUUAUGUUAAGGAUAUAAUGAAGUGUUUGAUUAUUUUUUCCAGAUGAAGUGUUAGACAUUUUAUAGCACUUAAUUAUUUUGGAUUUAUAUGUGAUGUCAGCCUCUACACGUAUAUACGUGAAUGUCACCUAUUAGAAAGAAAUAGUAAUUAAAUUCAUAUUUAAUAUACAUUUUUAAUCUAAUUUUUUUAAUUCAAUUUAAUUUUAGUUAAAACGUUUAAAAACAUUUAUUUAAUCUAAUUUCUUUAAUAUAUUAAAUAAAAAAGAAAUAUUAAAUAAAUUGGAUUAGAGAAUAUAUUGAAUAUGGAUGAAUACUGUAUCAUACUAAUUUUAUGUCUCUAAAAAUUUUAUAUAUUAUUUAGUGGUUUAAUUUUUUAAGAACAUUUGAUAUAAUUCAUAAAGAAAACAAAUAAUAAUUAAUAAUAAAUUUUUUAAUAAAAAAGGUGUGAAAAAUGGUAAGUAGAUAAUAGCUAUUAUCGCUUACAACAUGUUUGGAUUAAAAAGAAGAAAAAAGAAGGGAAAAUUAAGUAAAUUGAGGGAAAGAAAAUUCGGUUUCUUUGUUUAAGUAAAGAAAAUUAAGUAAAUUUUUUAUCGUAUCAUUAGAUUUUAUAUUUUAGAUUAUUAUCUCUUCUUCUUCUUUUUAACUUGUAACAAUCUUAUUUUUAUUUUCUAUUUUUUUAGGUUACUAGAAAUAUUUAAUUUUAAAUUUGUUUGAUAUAUAUUUUUAAAAAUUUUAACAAUAUUUUUUUAUUAACUAUUUUGUUAAAUUAUUAGGAAUCCUUCAUUUAUAAUUUGGUUAAGAUUUUUUUUUUAGUUUGAUCAAAUAAGCUUAUUAAAAAAAGAAUAUACCAAUAUAUUAUUGGUUAACAUUUUAAUUAUUAUUUUAUAUAGAAUAUUGAUAUUUUUCUAUAAAUUUAAUUUGCUGUGAUUUAAUUUUGUUAUUAUAUAUUAUUUAUGAACUGUUAAAAUUAAAAAAUAAAAGUAAAAUAAUUCAUUUUCUUUCCUUUUCACAGUUUAGCAAAACAAGUCCACAGGCUCGUCUCAUUCAAAAAAAGUAAAUUAUAUAUAUAUAUAAGGGCUAGUUUUAACAAAUGAAAAAUAUAGAAAAACUAUAUUAAAAGAAAUGGGGAAGGGAAAAGAACAGAGGGAGAAACAGAAGAGAAUGAAAAAUAAAGAAAAGUUAAAAUAACAUAAAAAAAAUUAAGGGUGGGUUUGGAUGGGCGAUUGGGUGCGGUGCGGUGCGUUUAGCUUAUUUUUUGUCUCACACUACAGUGUCGCUACAGUAUCUAAUCUCACCGCCACCGCUGUUUUUACACUAACUGCAGGUAAACGCACCGCCCAUCCAAACCCACCCUAAAUUGAAUUGCUCAAAACGAAAAAAUUAUAGGAAUCGGUUGUAUAAAUCACCCUAAAAUUUUUGUUUGAAAGAUGAUUUAACAUGUCACAUCAGUUUAUCGUUACACCAUUAACGGAAAUUAACAGCUCAGUGACUAAAAUGUUACAACGUGAUAACGUAAAUGACUAAAAUGUAACGUUUCAAACAUAAGUGACUAAAAUGUAAGCAAAAGUGACUAUUUUAAUAAUUUACCCUUGCAUUUAUCCAAACAUACGCUUAACGUAAACAUUUUUUUAAUUAUUUUUAUUUUAUUUUAUUUUUUACCAUUAUCCGUUAUCCUUAUUUUUAAAAAGUAUAAUUAAUAAAUAGUAUAAUUAUUUUUUAAAAUUAAUUUUAAGUAAUACACCAAAUAGAUUUUAUAACUUAAAUUUAAUAUUUAAUUUUAUAAUUUUUUUUUAUCAAACAACGUUUACUCCUAAGUAAAUAAAUAAAUAAAGGCCUUGUGUAAUUAAGAAAGUUGAGAAAGAGUUAGUCCUCACAUUGGCUAAAAUAACGGAGGAAAGAGAAAAAUUGGCCAAUAAUGGGGAGGCAAUGUCAAUGAGCAUACCCCACACAUACUAUUUACUGUCAAUGGUGAUGGCUGAAUUGGCUACUAUACAUGGAUUUUGUUUUCCUUUUCUUUUUUGUUCUUGUCCUGUAUUAUUUGCAUUUGUGAUCCCAAACUAUGUAAAAUUCCAGUCACUAUGUGAUCACAUUUUAAAAAAAAAAUUAUUUAUUAUCGAUUGAGUAUCAGCUUGAUUGGUAUAAAUAUUAUUGUUAAUGUAUAAGAACAUAAAUUUGAGUGUGUUAAAGCGCAUUAUCCUCUUAUUUAUAGAUUGAGAAGUGGUUAUUGGUAGUUCUAGACAUUGUGUAGAAAAGAAUACAUAUAAUCAGAAUCUAUAUUAAAAUUUUUCAAAAAAAUAUAUUUAUUACACAUGAAUUAAAAGAAAUCUAUUUAUGGGUAGUUCAAGAUUGUUGAAGCUAUAAAAUAAAAAUUCAAUUCGAAAAUAUAAAUCUCUUUUGUUUAACAAAAUAUUAAUAAUUAGUUGAGUUAAUAUUAUGAGUCAAUCGAACACCAAUUUAAUUAAGAAAUUACGAAAAUAUCGUUCCAUAAUUAAAAUAAAUUAUAUUAUUUGAGGAUAUUUUAAUAUUUUUUAUGUAAAAAAAAAUCAAUAAAAAUAUGAAUAUGAUGGGAUUUGAAAUAAAAUCUAGAAUUUACCACUCAACCAAAAUUUUAUUUUAUUAUAUUUUAUACAUUUUUAUUUUAAUAAGCACACUUUAUUAUCUCCGUCAGUUAUAUAUAUAUUAAUAAAUUUAUUGAUUGAGUUGAUAUCACAAGUCAACUCAAUACUAACCGACAAUUGAAGACAACACUUUGAUAGACAGUUGUAGUGCAUUUAAUUAAUAUUUUUAUUUUGAUGUAUUUAUGUGUUUAAAUUUUAUUUUUGCUCCCAAAUUAAUUUAAUUUUUUAUUUUAAUGUCAUACAUAUUUUAUAUAUUCUUAUGAUUAAUUAGCUUCAAACCAUAUGUUUUAUUAUUUAUUUUAUUUUUUUAAGCAUAUAUCUGUAUUCCAAAUCUAAACGCAAUUGCUUAUGUUAGUCAAUGUUACAAAUUGAGAAAUUUAUUAAAACUAUUGAAAUCUUCACAUCUAACCUGGUUUUAUCAUGUUUGGAAGACGCUAUUGAUCUUCUUCAAGUGGUUUUUUCACAAAUAUACUAUUCAUAUAUAUAAAAUAUGAUGAGUAAUAAUGUAUAGUGACGUGUCCAAACACUAAUUGAUGAAAAAAGUGAGUAAUAUUUUAUUACAACAUGAUGCCUUUUCAUAGUAUAAAAUGACUAUGCGAAUGAGGGCUUCCUACCAUUACCAGAAAGCUGAGGCUGUAGGAAUGAUGGCUUUUGCAAGUUGUGAUUUUAGGAUUUUGUGUUUGAUUAUUGUUUAGUUAUGCUAAAAUGUCACAUAUGGGUACUGUUUUAAGUUAUGUGUGAAUUCUAAGUUGAAUAUGUAGCCGCCUAAAAUAUUUAGGAGCGCUAAUUGAGAUCAUUACGAAAGAAAAUUGUAUUCUAACGGUGUAUGAAAAUUUGGACAAAAAUCUCAACUUUUUAUUUUUUUUUAAAUUUUAUUUUUGCUCCCAAAUUAAUUUCAUUUUUUAUUGUUGUACAUAUUUUAUAUAUUCUUAUGAUUAAUUAGCUUCAAGCCAUAUGUUUUAUUAUUUAUUUUAUUUUUUUAAGCAUACAUCUGUAUUCCAAAUCUAAACACAAUUGAUUAUGUUAAUUAAGGUUACAAAUUGAGAAAUUUAUUAACACUAUUGAAAUCUUCACAUCUAACCUGCUUUUAUCAUGUUGGGUAGAUGCUAUUGAUCUUCUUCAAGUGGUCUUUCACGAGUAUACUAUUCAUAUAUAUAAAAUAUGAUGAGUAAUAAUGUAUAGUGACUGUCCAAACACUAAUUGAUGAAAAAAGUGAGUAAUAUUUUAUUACAACAUGAUGCCUUUUCAUAGUAUAAAAUGAUUAUGCGAAUGAGGGCUUCCUAACGAUGGCUUUUGCAAGUUGUGAUUUUAGGAUUUUGAUUGUUUGAUUAUUGUUUAAUUAUGCUAAAAUGUCAUAUAUUUGUGAGCCCUACACUCACAUCAAAUUUAGAUAUGACAAACAUGAUUUAAAACAAAACCAUAUUAUAUUACUAGCUGUGAGCAAUUUAAAGAAAUUGAAUUUCUUUUUUACAAUUUUAAGUUAAUCAAUUAUUUGAUUUUUUAAAAUUAACUUGAAUGAGUGAUUUUGUUUUUCAAGUUUAAGUCAAGUUGAAUUUUACAACUCAAAUAUAAAUAUCUCUUGGGUCACUGAUAGUUUUAAAAAUGUACAAACUGAUCUGUCUCAAAAAUUUUAAAAAUUCAAAAUGAUCUUCUAAAACUCAAAAUAUUUAUAAAAUAUUUUCCCAAAAUUUUAUAAAUACAUAUAAAUUCAAAGAAUUUACCACUUAAAAAUAUAUAAAAAAUAUUAAAUUAUAUUUUUUGAAAAAAUUAAUAAAAUAAAUUUGAGGUCUUAAAUAAGUAACUUAUUAAUUCAAUUUUAUCAUACUAAUUAUCUUGUAUUCCAAGAGUUUUCAUAUAUAUCAGGGGCGAAGCCAGAAAAUUUUUUUUUAGGGGGGCAAAAUGAAUUUUUUAUUUUUAAUAGUCUAUAUCUUUAUAUUAAUAUUUGAACUGGUAUAAAUUAAGAUUGUUACGUCUAACAUUUAUAUCGAAUAAUUUUUACUAUAGAGAAAAGAAGUAAAAAUAAUAAUAUAUGAUGUAAAAUUAUUAAUUUGAGUCUUAACACAGUCGGUAUUUGUAUGUUGUUUAUGUAAUAUGGAGUGAGUUCAAGUAUGUUCAUGUGUAAUUUUUCUUUCUAUUUAAAGGUUGGAGAGGAGUUAGGGUGAAGCUAGAAUUUAUUUUUUUUGGGAGACGAAAUUAAGUUGUAUAUUUUUAUGAGAGUUAAAAUACAAUUUCACAAUUUCAAUAGAUUAUAUGUUUACAAUUUUUAAAGAACUAAAUCAAUAUUUUAUCAUUUUUUGGGGCUAAAGUACAAUUUUACCAUUUAUUAACUUAAAAUUUUAUAAACUUAAUUUAAAGGGUUAAAAUUUGAAUUUCACAUUUUAAAGGGAGGGAUAGAAACCCUUCUAGGCUCCCCUCUUGCCGCCCCCCUAAGAUGAUAUAAAGUAAAGCAAUAAGUGUCUAAAAUAUAUGAAUUAUGAGUACUGAUUACACUUGACCAAUUGCUUUUCUUCAAACAAAGCAAACACUAAUGCACAUGAAAAUGCAAAUUCACAUGCAACCUAGAUAUGCAUUCUAUAUACAAUGCAAUGCAAUGAAUAAAUAAAUAAAUAAAUAUAUAUUAUUUAAUCAUGAGAGUUUUGAUCCCCUUGUGAUUCUUUAACCAACCAUUCUCACACCUAAUUAUAAUUCUAGUAUAGUAAAAGUACGUGAGUGAGUUGAAUGGAUGGUGGUUGUUUGACAUAACAUGUAGAAAGUGAAAAAAUAGUUGAAAAUAAAUCAAGUAUUAAAACAAAAAAUUUAUGAAAGAAAUUCUAGUAUUAUCAAUUUUUCGUGAGGCUCAAAGCUAUUUGGAACAAAAAUAAAAUCAAUGUGUAUAGGCUUAACAAAAUAGCUAUCAUCUUGCAUUGUUAUUUCAUCCUAACCUCUUCCCUCAUAACUUCAUCUUCUAUUUUCUGUUUGACAUUAUCAAAAGUAAAACAUAGUUUUUUUAGGUUUUUCGACUAUUUAUGCAUCAAACUUUUAGGCCAUUUUGGACAUCUUCAUAAUGUUUUUGGGCUUUAAUCUAAGAAAUAAAUUUAGAUAGAUCUUUCAAGUCACAUCAACAUUUCAUAAAUGAUUUAAUAAAUGAGUAAUAAAAGGAUUUAGGGUUAAUGUGCAAAUUUGUCACUAUACUUCAAUUUGAUUGGUAUUUGAUAUUUGAUAUUGAAUUUUAUUGCUUUAAUUUAAUUGAAUUUUGCCACUAAAAUUAGAAUUUUUAUUGAAUUUUCUAUUCAAUUUAAAUUUAAAAUAACUUGAAGGCUAAGUUGAUUAAAAAAUAGUUUUAUAUUUCGCUUUAAUAUUAAAAAAUAAUAAGUUAAUUAAUAUAAUAUUAAAUUUAAAUAAAAUAGUUAUUUUAUAAAAUAAAUUUUUUUUUCUCUUUUAUGAGAUAUGGACUCAUUAACAAUAGAAAUUCUAAUUUAAUUUAUUAAUUUUUAAUAUUUAUAAGUUAAAUUAUUGUUAAAUAUUAAAAUAAAAUAUUUGAAAGAAUUUUUCUUAUUAUAUAUAUUAUGUUUUAAAAUCAUCAAAUUAAUAUUGAGUGGUAAAAAUUAAUUAAAAAAUUGAUUUGGAGAAAUUUUUUAAUAAAAUUGAAAAUUUAUAGUAAAAUUCAAUCACAUAAUAGUUGAUUGAUAAAUUUACACAAAAACUUAAAAUAUAGCUAUGAAUAUCAAUGAAAAUAAAGUAUAGUAGCAAAAUUCAAAGUAUAGUGACAAAUCAUAUAAGUUCAAUGAAUAAAAGAAAUAAAAAAUUAAAUAUAUGAUUAAAAAGAUUUUUUUUUUUUUACGAAAUUGAAAGAUCAAAUAAAUCAUUAUACGUAAUAUAAACAAAAUCACAAGUAUCCUUAAACUUGGCUUAAUUGCCAAUUAGACAAUUUAGGAUGUCAGAUGCAUAAUCAACAAUUUGGAGAUAAAAGGAUGAAUAACCAAGUAUUUUUAUAAAUAAAUUUGUUUUAGAAGAAUGGGAUGAGUUUUAGAGUAUAUAGAGAAGUAGGGUAGUUCUUCCUUCUCCGCAUAGUGGUUUUGCCUACAAUAAUGAAGCAAAGGGAAAAACACGAGGAUGAGAUGCAAUGAAUUCCCCUUGCAUACCCAAUACGUACUAUUUACUAUUUCUUUUCCCACUGAGAAGUUGGUAUUUUGGAAUUAUCGUUUUCAGCUCUACAAAUGUUCUUGGUGCUGUGUCUGUCUUUCUUUGGUGGGUUCUUGCUUUCUGAAUCUGGUUCUACUGUCGAUUUGGAUGGUUAGGAUACAGCGCUUCAGGCAACUGAUGUUCAAAAGGUUCGAUGGCAUUGGGGAUAUGAUGAUUUUAAGUUUAUUGUCGCCCCAUCAGUUGGUUGUUUGGGUGCACAACUAAAUUUUAGUAUUAUUUUAUUUUCCAUAAUUAUAUUUAUUUAAAUUUUAUAAAUAUUUUCUAAGUCUUAAGAUUUUAUUUUUUGCAUUUUAUGAUUUCUUUUUUUGGAUUUUUAAUGGUUUUUAAAUUUUUAUAAUUUUUCUAAAAUGUUUUAAGUAUUUUGAUUGUGUGAGGUUUUGUGAAUGAAGCGAAGGGUAUCUUUAUUGUGGUGAACUUUUAAUUAGCUCAAAAUGAAGUGAUUUAUUACGUCGUGUGAUUUACGGAUAAGUGUUAAAAAUGAAAUGAAUUGUUGAAUUUGAAAACAAUGGUGUAAUAUUGCAGGGAUUUCCAACAUUAUCAUAAAUUUUAGUGAAUUUAGAGACGAAAUCACAGGUCCACUGAGUUUUGUUCAAAUUUAGGGAUUUCAUCGUCAUAUACGGUCGAUUUGGAUAGUUAGCAUACAAAGCUUCAGAUCAUUGAUGUUCAAAAGGUUUGGUGGCCAUGGGUAUAUGUUGAUUUUGAGUUUAUUGUUGCCCCAUAAGUUAGUUGCACUAAAAAAAUGGGUAUUACCGAUGCUAAAAAUUGUUACUAAAAUUUUAUUGUAGCAAUAAAAGUUGUUGCGGGAUUGUUGUGUAUAUCUUUGUUGUCUAAAAUAUAUGCAACUCUACUCAAUUACACAAUAUUUACUCUUAAAUAUGACCUAUUCAACCACCGAUUUCAGCACAUUAAACACAAAUUAAUAAUCUAGAAAUAUCAAACCAAGAAUUAAAUACACAUAAUUGAGAACAAUAAAUUAAGUGUUUAUUGCAUAAAAUAAAAAAUAAAUGAUAGAAUCCAUCAUAGAGUUCACCUCCCUAGGUAUUUAGAAAAUUAGUUCAAGCUUGAAAAUAAAAACAUCCAAGAAAUAGUACAACCAAAAGAAAUAAAGAAAUUCAUGAUAAUCUCCUAAGAAAUCAACUGAGAAUCUUCAAUCUUGACAGAAAUUUGCUUCCAACUUGGCUUCAAUGGUAUUUUUCGAGUUGUUUUCUUGAAUAUUUUAUGACGGCACUCUCAUAUCUUCUUAAUUUUGUCAUAUAUACGUCUUAGAAUGCCCAAAAAACUUAAAAAUUGUGAUUUUAUGCUGUUUGUGUGGCAAUUCCACGAAAUCGACACAGCCUACUACACACCAGUGUGGGUCAUACGACUGUGUGCUUUCCUCGUGUGAAAUUUAGAAAAUGCAAAAGAUUCCCUAUGCACUAGCUGCUGGAAUCUAAUGUAUGCUCAAGUAUGUAUGCGUCCAGAUAUUGCAUACAUUGUUGGGAUGUUAGGCAAACAUUUAAGCAACCCUGGUAUAGACCAUUGGAUAACAACUGAAAGGGUUAUGAGGUAUCUUUAGAGAACAAAAUAUUACAUGCUCACAUAUUGGAUGUUUGAUAAGUUAGAGAACAUCAAGUUUACAGACUCCAAUUUUGAUGGAAUAUUGAUGCAACAUUUUGCCACUAGAGUGCAAACUGUGACAAUAAUUAGUAGUCUCUUAUUCCAAUAACAAUAAAAGCACAUCAAAGUCAAAGCACAUAGACUUUAAGUUCAUAGUUGUUAAAAUAAAAGUUCAGGGUGGUUAGAUGUCUAUAAAGUAUAUUGAGACAAACUUCAUGAUUGCGGAUUCGCUUACUAAGGGACCACCACCCAAAGUUUUUUUCAUGAGCACACUAUUGAUAUGAGUGUAAUGUCAUUCACUACAGAAUAAGUUUUUAGUGGCGUUAUUUUGGGGCUAUAACUGCCUUAUAAGCGUCGCUAAAACAACUUGCGGCGUUUUGAAAAGCACCGCUAAAAACGCCACUAUAGAACAUGACCUUUAGGGGCGCUUUUCCCACAAAUGCCGCUAAAAGUAUGACCUUUAACAGUGUUUGUGGGGCAAACGCCACUAAAGAACAUGACCUUUAGCGGCGCUUUCUCCACAAACGUAACUAAAUGUCAUGUUCUUUAGUGUCGUUUUUAGUAAAAGCGCCGCUAAAAUUCAUGUUCUUUGGCGACAUUUGUGGAAAAAUGCUACUAACUUUAGCAGAUUUUUACCAACCCAUUUUCAUUCAUAUAGAAUCCUAAUUGUUAACAUAAUUUCCUGUAACAUCAAAUCCAACCAAAAACUAAAAAUUUAAAUGAUACUUCAAUUCCAACGAAAGAAAUAUGUAUGUGAUCUAAAUCAGUAAAUGAAAUAACAAAAUAUAUUAUAUUCAAAAGUUAUAUUGUUAAAAUAUUCUCACAAUAAGAAAACAAACAUCUAAGAUGAUGGAUUCUACGACUGUUGAAACAUCUUCAUCAUAUUCUGAAGCUGUAGCUGGAGUUUGUCAUAUUUUUUGCUUGCCCCUGCUUCCCUUGCUGCCGCCUCCGCUUUAAGUUAUAGUUGGAGUUUUUCAUAUUUUCUUUAAGUCUUUGCUUUUCUCGAUGCUGCCUCCACUUUAAAUUGAGCAAUUUGCUCAACUGUGCUCGCUUGCAUUUGAACCAUCUGGUCUCUUAACCUCUGAACUUCAGCUUGAGCCUGAUUCUCUGAAGGCAUGUAUUGUUGCGAACUGGAUCCAAAAUAUUGGGUUGGGUUAACAAAAUAUCCUUGAAAUCAAACCCGACCAUACUUUUCGAGACCCAAAACUUCGGUAAUAAUUCAGUUAUCAAUGUCAUCAAUAUUAACAGAACUAUCACUUGAAGCGAUCGCUUCAUACUCUGCCCUUUUAUCCUUUAGUUUCUCCUAAUAAAUCAACCAAAGAGUUAGAAACGAAAUAUAUAAUCAAAACAAAUGCAAUAUAACUUUGGGAGUCUAAUGUAUGCUCAAGUAUGUAUGUGUCCGGAUAUUGUGUACAUUGUUUGGCUGUUAGGCAAACAUUUAAGCAACUCUAGUAUAGGCCAUUGGAUAACAAUCGAAAGGGUUAUGAGGUAUCUUUAGAGAACAAAAUAUUACAUGCUCACAUAUUGGAUGUUUGAUAAGUUAAAGAACAUCAAGUAUACAGACUCCAAUUUUGAUGGAAUAUUGAUGCAAAAUUUUGCCACUAUAGUGCAAAUUGUGACAAUAAUUAGUAGUCUUUUAUUCCAAUAACAAUAUAAGCACAUCAAAGUCAAAACACAUAGACUUUAAGUUCAUGGUUGUUAAAAUAAAAGUUCAGGGUGGUUAGAUGUCUAUAAAGUAUAUUGAGACAAACUUCAUGAUUACAGAUUCGCUUACUAAGGGAUUACCACCCAAAGUUUUUUUCAUGAGCACACUGUUGAUACAGGUGUAAUGUCAUUUAAGGAUAUUUGACUUUAGUGGGAGUUUGUAUUUUUAAAUUUUUUUAUGUUACAGACACAUCGGUUAUCUCAGUUUACGAAUAUUAAGUUUAUUUUCUUUAGAAAUAAAGUUUAUUUGGUAAAGUUUGACCUCACUAAGGUUAAGGAGGACCAUUUAGAAUAGGCAUGUUUGAAUCAUAUUGCAUGUAAUUUUCAUGUUACACAUCCAUACUUGAUCUAUGUCAUUUGGUUGUGCUAAUAUAUGUUAUUAGGGAUGGAUUUAGUUAUGAUAUAUGUAACAAAAGUCACAUUCGUUCUAUGUUAACUUAAUUAAUGAAUGAGAUUAUUUGGAAUACCUUUUGGAUAUGAUAGUAAAGUUUUGAGCUCAUAAAUUUAUAUAAUGACAUGUAAUUAUAAGGUAAUUGGUAUAUAUAUGUGGCCAAGUGGUAUGGACAUCACAUAUAUAAUAAGCCUAAUUACUCCAAAAUCCUUGCAGCCCUUUAAUGACUUUUAAGCAAUCAUAACCAUUUUAUUUACAGGUCAUUUGUAUGAAGGAACUUUGUGGUCAUGAUCGAGAGAUUCGAAUUUAGCAUAUUUACAGAGAAGGAAAUCUUGUUUCAGAUUUCUUGGCCCAUAUGGGAUUCCGGCUUUGAUCUAAGUUUACUACGAGAGCCACCUGGAAAUGCUCUCUCAAUUUCAACUAUACUAUGUGAUGAUAUUGCUAGUUCUUUGCCCUAUCGCCUGUGCUCAUUUGUGGUUAAUUAGUUUGUAAUAACCCAAAUUUGCCCAGGCUUACAACCCAAAAAUAAACAGAAAUAAAACCCAAAAAUAAAUAACAAGGCCCAAAUAAUAAUAGCCCACAAAACUUAAAAAAAAUCCAGCCAACUGAAACCCUAAUGCCCUCAUAUACGCCGCACCUCCUCCUCGGACACACUGCUCGUACCUCGUCCCAAGGUCUGACUCUUCCCAUAACAGCCCAAUUUUCAAUGAUAUCAGAAACAAUGAUUUUGGAUCACUAAAUCUGAUAAGUAAGCUUGAAAAUUUAAUAAUUAAUAAUUACGGGUCAAGUGUGAAUUUAGAAGAAUUUUUGAAUUAGUGAAUUUUGUUAUUUAAAAAGAAUUUAAUAGGUAAAUCGGGUCUAAAAUGAGGUAUCGAGACCUCGAAUCCAUAAGUCAACACAUAAAUAUUUUUAUAAAUAUUUAUGGAGUGCCAUUGAGUUAGUAUUAAAGUUUCAUCAGAAAAUUUUAACGUUUUGAUAGUCAAUUAAUUAAAAAGGACUAAAUAGAAAAGAUGCAAAACUUGCUAAAGUGAUUAAAUAGCCUAAAAAUUAAAUAAGGAAGGCCUAAAAGAUAAAAUGGACCAAUUUAAGUGGCUGAGGUGGCAUACGGUUAAAAAAAUUAAAGAUUUUUAUGUAUUUAAGGGCAAAAUUGGAAUUACAAUAAAGUUUAUGUGGCCAAAAUUUAUUUUAAGGAUUUCAAGACCAUUUCUUCUUGAAAUUUCGGUGUAAAACAGCCAUGGAAGAGGAUUGAGAGCUGAUAUUUUAUAUUUUAGCUUCAAGUUCAAUUCUUGUUUUUCCCUUGAAAUUUUUAUAUUUUUGGACUUUUACAAUUAGGUCCAACUUAGUAUUCUAUUAGUUUUUUAUUUUGUUGAAAGUUUUGGAAGAUACCAUUGAUAAGUUCAUAUGAUUUUUAUUAUUUGGUGAUGAAAUUGAGAUGUUAAUGGAUGUUUAAAGGUGUUUUAUUAAAUAAUUUUGGAUGAAAAUAUGUUUUAGGGAUUAAAUUGAAAAGUAUUGAAUUUGUGGAAAAUUCUAAAAUUUUAAGAAAUCCAUGGGCUUUCAUUGACAUGUAUGCGAAUGAUUAGGCUUGUAUCAAUGAUUAAAUUGAAAUAAUUUCAUUUUCCGAGCCUAGGGAUGAAAUCGUCAUGUAUUAAAAGUUUAGGGUCAAAAUGGUAAUCAAUAUAUUGCACUAAAAUAGUUUUGGGUAGUAGUAGUGUGCCAACUUUGAAAAAUCACCAAAAACUGUGGGAAUCGAAUUAGAAGAUGAGUAAAAGAUGAAAUUAAAGCUUAUUGUGUCUAGUUUCUCAUAGAAGAAACAGUGUAAGCAAUGGAAUUAUAAAUCAUGAGAUAUAAUAAAUUUUGUGAGACAGAGUCAGAAUAAUUUUGGAAUCCCCUGUUCUAAUUUUGGAAAAUCAUUAAAAAUUGUAUAAAAAUAAUUAUGAGUUAUAGUUUAUAUGUUUAAAAUCCUGAAAGAGUUUAUUUUCAAGAGAAACAAACAAGAACAUCACCCAAACUCUGUACAAUGAGAUAAUUACUUUUUGGUGAAGAGAGGUCAGAACUGUCAAACAGUGAAACAGGGGAGAAUUUAAAGAAUAAACUGUAUUUAUUGGCUAAGCCAAAAAUUCUAAAAAUUUUAUGGUAAAAUGAUAUAUGAGACUAGUUUCUGGAAAAAUUAACAAAUCUUAAUUUAGAGCUUCGUAGCUCGAGAUAUAAAUAAUUUAGUGACUCUGACUCGGAUAGACAACUUUGAAUUUAUGUAUAAGUAAAUCGUGAAAAUAUAGUUAAUGUUAUUUAAGCAUGUUAUAUACAUUAAGGAUGUGGAAUGGAGAGGAGGAGGAGGAAAAUUGGAAAAUAUAUGAAUGACUUGUGUAUGAAUUGGUCAUAUGCCUGAUUAUAAUCGAUAAACGUUGAAUUUGAAAUGAUAUAAUGUUUUAUUUCAAAUAGUUAUUAUGAAAUUAUGAUUAUCAUUAUGUUACAAAAUUUAAUUGUAAGUUCAUAUGGCAGAAUUUUAAUGAUUAAUUGUUAAUUUCAUAAUUAUAUAAUAUAUGAUGGGAUAUAAUUGUUGAUGAAUUGAGAAUAAAAUAACAAUGCGAAAAUCGAAUAAAUGAUCAAAUUUAGUGGAACGUCGGAUUUGAGUACUUCUGAUCAGUGACAAGUGAUAUAUGAUUUCCGUGUAAGACCAUAUUUGGGAUAUGGCAUCGUUGUGACAUGUGUUUCCGUGUAAGACCAUAGCUCGGCUAUGGCUUCGGUGUGUGAUAUGUAACGAUGUGCAAUACCAUAGCUAUACUAUGGCAAUGUGGAAACAAAGUACUCAAUUCCAUAAGACGUUCUCUAAUUUAUCAAAUUGUGGUAAGUGUUAAGCAAAUUUUAUGUGAUAAAACAUAUUGAACAGUGAAAUUGAGCUGAAUUAUGUGAUCUCAUCAUUCAGAGAUUGUGUUUGAUAGGUUAUGUUAAUAAAUUAUGUGUAUGUGAAUUUAAGUGACAGAAAUUAAACAGCUAAUGAUAUUGAGCUCAUUUACAUGAAUCUGUCAUUUGAAAUUGUGAUUGACAGAAAGAAAUAGUGAAUUGAAUAUGAAAAUGUGAAUAGAAAGCACAAACUAAAUGUUCUUGCGAUAAAUAAUGGCUCAAUGUGAUAGUAAAUGAUGUUAAUCUAAUGAAAGUUAAAUUGAAUUGUAAAUGACUUGAAUUAUCCGAAAAUGUUCUAUAAUCUCUGGUAAUGUCUCGGAACCCUAUUUCGGUGACAGAUACGGGUAAGGGGUGUUACACUUCCCCUGGCCACCUUGCCUAGCCUUGUAAAACAAAAUAGAAGAAGAAGAUAGAAGCGAAAAUAGCAGGGGAUAGCAGAAAAUAGUAGCAUAAUCGGCUGUAAAAGCCCCAAUGAAAUGUAAUUUAUUUUUUUUCUACGGAUAAUCAAAUAUUAAGAGAACAAAAUAUCAAUCGAAAAUCCUGAAGGUUUACUUCUACUGUUGUUUUAAGUUUUGGUUCAUUUUUAUUCUGCCUUUUAUUUUUCAUUUUUUUACAUACAAAGAAAGGAAAAAGAAACAGAAAUAAAAUACCAUAGUUUUAAAACAACAAAGGAAUUUCUUUGCAUAUUUAUCGAAAAUAGAGCAUAUAUACAUAGAUAUAUUCAAAAAAACACAAGUUUUUUUAACCUCUGUUGUGACUGAAGAAGGUGGAACCAAAUGGUUUUUUUUCGCCUUUUCUGAAUUUCAAAGGGGUUUCUUAGGAUUUUAACCUCGGAUUGAGAUUUGGGAGGCCGAAUAGGUCGAAAAGGGGCCUUUUUUUGAACUCCGGUCGACGUAUACGGCGGCAUACGGUGGUGGAUGACGGUGGACGGACGGUUGCCCAGUGACUAGGGUACAGCUAGACCACGACCGGAGGAAAAGGGAUUGAGAGAGAAUCCCCUGAUUUUUUUUGGAAAAAGAAGAAAAUGAAAUUUUUAAAAAAAAAUUGACUUAACUAGGGCCCCUAAACGGCGCCAUUUAGGGCUGGUCAUAAUAGCCCUAAAACGAUGUCGUUUUGCCCAAGACCCGCGCAUGUGACCCGACCCGCCAGAGGAUCCGCGUGUUUUUAACUUUUGGGCUAUUUGCGCUUUAGGCCCUUCAUCAUUUUUGGUCUAUUUCAAUUUAGUCCUUUUGCAUUUUUUCUUUAUUUUUUAAUUUAGACCACAGAUUUGUCUCGGUUUUCAAUUUGGUCCUCAAUUCGUUGGACCCCUGGGGAGGAGAUGCGUGGCCUGGAAAACUGGUUUAUUACCCAUUUGGCCCUCCUCCCUCUCGCGCUCUUUCAUUUUGGUCUUUCUUUAUUCAUUUUAUUAUAGCUUUGACCUUUAAAUUUCAUUUUUAUCCCGAGUUAGUCCAUCUUUGUUAUUUUUGUUAUAUUAUUAAUUAAUCUAAUUAUUAUCAUACUUAUAUUUUCUUUUUAUAUUUACUUAUUAUAUUAUUAUAUUAUACUAUUAGUUUUGUAUUAUUAUUAUUAUUAUAUUAUUAUUAUAUUUAUAUUUAUAUUUACUUAUCUAAAUUUUAAAUAUAUUUUGUCUUAGUAUAUAUUAUUAUGUAAUUACUUAUAUCUUUUGUAUUUUUUUAACUCUAGAUUAUUCGCUAUUCUAUUAUUAAUAUUAUUAUUGUUAUUAUUUACUUAUUUAUAUCCUUUUUAUUUCAAACUUUGUUAUAUAUAUACAUACAUACAUAUAUUAUUUUUUAUAUUUUUAUAAUCUUAUUUAUUUUCAUUAUUGUUAUUAUUGUUUUACUUGAUAUUUAUUUAUUUAUGUGUCCAUUAUUAUUUUAAGAAACAUUUUAGUUCUGUUUGUUUAUUUACUUGUUAUUUUAUGUAUAAUUGAUUUGUCCCCUUUUUUUAUUUAUUUAUCUUAUUUUCGUUGUUGUUGCUCGUAUUAUUUAUGCUUACAUCAUUGUAUUUAUUAUUGUUUUGUUACGCAUAUUAACCCCGUGUUUUAUUUCUACCAUUUCGUGUUAGAUUAAUCUCAUUUGAUGCAUAAAUCAUGACUUUAAAACAAGUAAAACUAGAUAUUUUGAGAUCCGAAAAGGUCGUGCCCUAACUUACGGGGCUUUGAUUUUCUCGAUAAAUUCAAAUACACGAAUCUUUUCAAACAUAAGUUUUUUAAGUGAUCUCGGGAAUUAAUAAAAGAUCGGGUUCUAACUUACGGGACUUGAUUUCUUUUCCAAACCCGAGAUAAUCAAAUCGAAUAUCCUUCAAAUAAAUAAAGCUUUUGGCAUUUAUUCUCGAAUCAAGUAUUUAAAUAUAUUGUGUCCUAACUUACGGGAUAUAAUUCUCUUUCUCGAUUAACGCGAAAUAUGCCCUUUUCUUGAAAACUUUCAGCAUUUUAACAAAGGAUUGUAUUUUGAAUCUUUUCAAAGUUUCCAAUUCUCGACACUAAGACACUAAUUAAUCAACCAGGUACCAAUUUCUAGGCGUUAUGAGGGUGCUAACCCUUCCUCGUAUGUAACCGACUCCCGAACCCAUCUUUCUGAAUUUCGUAGACCAAAAGCGUUGUUUUAAUAAAUCGAACCGUUUUGUUAAAAAUAACCAUUUUUUGAGUUGACCUGAUCACACCUCCUCAAAAAAGGAUUGGUGGCGACUCCCAUAUUCAUUUUCGUUUUAAAAAUCCAAGUCGACCUCUUUUAUCAAAAAAUGGUUUCGACAUAGUUGUUAAGGCUUUUGCCUCUUUCUUUUAUUAAAAAAAAAAGCUGGGCACGAUGAAUCGACCUUAGCUAGUAAAAAACUUCAAUCACCGAAUUGCAUAAAAUUCUAACUUAAAUUCAAAUGCAGAAGCAGGAUCGUUUAUCAAUCCACAAUAUCAACAAAUCUCAAUUCAAACACAAAAUUAACCGGUGAAAAAAAAUAGUUCAACCCAUAAACAUUUACCACAAAGGGAAAUUUGAAACACUUACCACCAUUCCCCUAUCAGAAAGUCUUACCCACAUUCAACAACUAGAAAUCAGAGCUCACCAAAAUGUUUAUGACGAAGCCAUUUUUUUGAAAAGGGUCGACUUUUUAUUUAAAAACGAAAAAGGGAGUCACCACUAAUCAUUUUUAUGAGGUGUGAUCGGGUCACCUCGUAACGGUUUAAUUGAUUAAAAUAAAAAUUUUGGUCUACAAAAUUUAGAAAAAUGGGUUCAGGAGUUGGUUACGUACGAGGAAGGAUUAGCACCCUCGUAACGCCCAAAAUUGGUACCUAAUUGAUUAAUUAAUGUCUUAAUGUUGAAAAUUAAAAACUUGAAAAGAAUUUAAAAUACGAUCCCUCUUUAUUAAUGUUAUUUUUUAGUUAAAAUUUCUUGGAUAAAUCAAAAUGUGUGCUUAAGACUUUCUCGUCCCAAAGUAGCAAAAAUAUUAUGUCCCGUAAGUUAGGACACAACACUUUGAACUUUGGAGAAUGAACUUGCCUUUAUUUUUUAUUUUAAAUCUUAUUAUUUUGAUUUUAAAAGGAUAUUCGGUUAUUUGAGUUCAACGAGAGAAUCGAAACCCCGUAAGUUAGGUACGAUUUCCUGAAUCUCCAAAAUAUGAAUUAUUGCCUAUUCUUUUGAAAAUUUUCCAUUUUUAUGAAAUUGGAUGAAAAUUAAUGAUAUUUAAAAUGAUAUGCAAUAUAAAAUAAAAUAUUAUAAUAACCAUGACGUAAUUACAAAGAUGAAUGCAAUAUUGUUUGGUGGAAAAUGUUUUCCGAAAAAUAUUUUCUGAAUUUUCCAGCGUUUGUUUGGUGGAAAAUGAAUUCCUAAAGUAAAACAUUUUCCAAACACGGGUAAAAUUAGUCCCCAAUUUUUGGAAAACGUCUUACUAAUUUGGAAUCAGUAAGAAAUUUUCCCGUUCUCCCUUCUCUACACUCUCGUUCUCCCUGCCUCUCUAAACCAAUCUUAGGGCUCAUUGAGCUGGUUCCGGGCUAUUUUUCCCCCUUGAUUUCUUCUCCUUUUUAUAAAUUAAUUUGGGGCUUUUCAUCACUGUGUGUUGUUUUUGUCUGGGAUCUCUUGCAUGGGUUUUCUGCUAGUUUGGGUUCUCUGUGCUCAGGCUUUCUACAAAUUCUGCUCUUCCUCUCUUGCUUGGGUCGGGUUUUUGUUACCGUUUUGUAGCCUGUGGCGUUUGGCUUGUCUUGGGCAAACUUUCUUCGCUGACUUUCUUUAGAAAGGUAUAUUUUCUAUUUUCACUUCCAUUUUCUACUUAUUUUUUAGACGCAAAAUUUCUUAGCAAUUCUUUUAUCUUGAACAAACAAUGUUUUGAGGUUUUGGGUCGUUUCAUAAAGUAGAAAAGGAAUCGAACUGUUAAUAUUCUUAAGAUUGAGAAAUUGAGGACACGUUUGGUUCGCUGUAAUGGAAUAGAGGCGUAAUAGUAAUUCAACUGUUUGGUCGAAUGGAAUGGAAUAGAGCUAUAAUAGUAUUCUUGUGUUUGGUUGAAUGGAAUUAUGUUGUAAUAGCAUAAGGAAAAAAACUAAAAUGAGUAUACCCUUAGCAGAAUUUUUUUAGGUAGAUGAUUAUUAUUAUUCUUAUUAAAUUUUAAUAAGAUUAUUAAUAUAAAUAAUAAAUAAUAUAAUCAUAUUUAACAUAAUUAUUAUUAAAUAUAAUUUAAUAAAAAAUAUAUAAUUUAAUAAAAUUCUUAAUAUAAUUAUUCUUAUAUUAAUUUCCUAAAAUCAUAAUAUAUAAUAAUCACUACACCAAAACAGGUUUUUAGCGGCGUUUGGAUAAAAAACGUCGCUAAAAAUUGAGCAUUAGCUGCGAUUUACGUCAAACGCAGCUAAAGAUCGAGCAUUAGUGGCGCUUCCAAGAAAGCGCCUCAAAAAAUGAGCAUUAGCGGCGUUUAUCCAAAAAACGCCGCAAAAAACGUAAACCCAACGGCAUCGUUUUUGACCUUUCGGGGCUUUAGCGGCGCUUUUUCAAAAGCGCCGCUAAUACUCGGGUCUUUAGCAGUGCUUUUCCCAAAAUGCCGCUAAUGCUCUAGUCUUUAGCGGCGCUUUUUCAGAAGUGCCGCUAAUGCUCGGGUCUUUAGCGGCGCUUUGUCAAAAAUGCCGCCAAAGCUCGGGUCUUUAGCAGCGCUUUUUCAAAAAUGCCGCUAAUGCUCGUGUCUUUAGCGGCGCUUAAUCCCAAAUUGAUCCUCCAUACCAAAAUGAGUGGAAAUGAGUUUAAAAGAUGUCCAAAACAUUAACAUUUAAACAUUUGUUAAGAAAUUUUCUUUUGUUUUCAAUAUAAAUGGCUUAAAAAAUGAAAAAAAAGUCUUAAACUUUGUUUGAUUAAAAAUUUUCGUAUAUAAAAAGGAACAUAUUUAAAUUUAUGUGGAUGGUUUUUAUUUAGUUUCAUUAAUAUAGGGAGAUUAAAGAUUGGUGGAGAUUUUACCUAACAAAUUAUUAUAGAAAGAGAGAAGAUGGAUUUAACACCUUUUGAGAAUCCAUUCCCCAAUGAGUUGUAUGGUGUAUCAAUUACGCAUGUAUGAAUAUAUUUUCCUUCCACCAUGUGCUGCCACGAAACUUAGGGCCAAUAUUGUGGAUUCCCGGAGAAUUAGAAGAUAAAAGAAAACCUAUAGGAGAUUCUUGUAAGAGUUACUGGUUUAAGAUUGGUUUUGGAUUUUGUAGGAAAGAUAUGCUGCAUCAAUUACACAUGGGGAUUUAAUACAAGUUGGAUCAUUUUCCUCAUCAGCUAACAUUUUCUUAUGCUAGUUUAGAUCCAAAUCCACACACCCAAUUUUGAUUUGCGCUUCCAUCAAACUAAUUCUUUUUACUGUGAAAAACAUAUUAUUUCAGUAAUAAAUGUUGAAUCAACAUUAUUUUAAUAAUAAAUUAUUUUAUUCCUUUUACUAUAGUAUUUUUUUCCCAUCAUGUUGAUUUAGGUAUAGUUUGGAUAGACAUUGCGUUUACUUGUGUUUAGUAUAAAAACAACAGUGACGAUAAAAUUAGAUAAAAGUGAACUAAUCGCACCGCACUGGCCAUCCAAAUCCAAGUACCAUACUCUUCUUUUAGUUUUUUUUAAACCCUAAAUAAGAAAGACAACCUCAUUUAGCGAAGUCAUUAACCCCUUUCUUAAAUUUCCAUAAUAAAACUCAUACCCUAUUCAAAAACCCUAUUUUAACAAAAUUCAACUAUCUUUGAAUUAUUCGUAACCCUAUAUUUAUAAUACAGACGUGGUGAUCAGUUAGACCUUUAAUUACUUAACAUACUUUUUUUUUAUUGACUAACAUCUCUUGUUUUUAUUGACUCCUUUAAUUUUAAUUUAAUAAUUUUAUAAUUUAAUCUAAAGAGGUCAAAUUCGAAUUAUUUUUUUGAUAUAAUUUUUAAUUUAACAAGAGCUGAAUCAUACUUUAUAGGAUUUGAACCUUGGACGAUAGGUUUGAAGACCCACAUGCUACCGAACUAAACUAAUAUCACUUUCUUAUCAUAAUAAAUAAAAUUGUAAAAAAAAUCCUUUUAUUUUAUAACCCUAAUACAAUACAUUGUAUGUCGUAUAUAUAUAAUAUGAGAAAAUGAUAGAUUGAGCAAAAUUGCAUCAUAGGUUGUGUUCAAAAUUCAAAUUCUUUUUGGUUUAGAGGGUUUUAUGUUUGGUUAGUGAUAAGUUUUUUUUCUUUCGCAUGUGAUUUAUCUUUUCGAUAUGUAGGGUGAAGGAUUUAAAUUGUGGAAUGUUUGGUUUAUAUAAGCAGCUUAAGGUAAGAAAAGAAAAGCAAGAUAAAAUUUGAAAGAUGAUCCCAUUGUUGACUGAUUCAUUUACUGCGAGCUUCUCCCUCAUAUUGUAGCGACACUGAUGUACAAAAUAUUUCAAAGAUGUACAAAUUUUUCGAGUUUAAAAACUACAUUGAGUGUAUUUUCGUAGGAGUUCAGUUGAUUUAAAAACUACAUUAAAUGGUUUAGGAUUUAAGGUUUACUUCAGAUUUGUUAAAUGAUGAAAUUUUAUACAAUAAAUUAAUACUUUUAUAUUUAAAAAUAUUUAAUCUAAAAUAUUCGAUAUAUUUAAAUAUUAGAUUUAAAAAAAUUGAUAAAUAAAUAAAGUCACUUAACUAAUAAUUUUUGGUAGAUAAAAUAAAAAAUUUUUAACAGAGCAAAACGACGUUAUUUUAUCAAUAGAUAAGCAAUAAUGGCGUUUUUUGUAAAAACGCCACAAAAUUUAUUUUACUUAGAAAAAAAUUUGGCGCUGAUUUUUCCCAAAUUUUCCCCCUAAAACCCCUAACUUUGCAAACAAAAUGAAAAAAAGAAGAGGAAAAUGAAGGUACCAAAGACGAUUCAGCACAAAACCUCUCCAAUCUACUUACGAGUUCUACCGUUUGUUUCCCUGGAAAAUAUAUGAGACUUAAUAUUUUCUGUUCCAUUUUUCCUCUUUAUUUUCUAAUUUUGGGUAUUAUUUACUCAGAUCCCCUUUCUUUUUAUUAUUGUUUUUUUUUUCUCUUAUAUUUUAGCUAGAAAUCGACGAUGCAAGUUACUGCUGGUAACAAGUUAUUGCUUAAAAUUCAUCGUAACAAAUCUACUUCAAAGGAAGUUAUUCAUAUUCCUUCGUAUCGAAGCGAAGUUAUUUACGGUGGAACUUGGUUCUCCAGCUCUCGUAAGUUUGUUCCCAGUUUUGUAUUUGCCAUCUAUACCAGGUUUACCUCUCUUACUUCUCUUCGUCUUCAUCUCCCUUUCAUUUAUUCUACCAAAAACGCCUCUUACUUGUCAUUUUUUUCUCACAUAUCGUGCAAGACUCAUUUUUCUUUCUUUAUGCUCUAGUCUUAACAGUGCACUUCAACUGUUCAAUAUAAUGCUUCUUUAUACAAUUUGUUUCUGGUUUUCAGGGGGUGUUGUUUGUAAGAUGUUGAAGCAAGCGAUAUGGAAGGUGUUGAGCAAAAGGGUAGUUUCAGAUUCUGGUGAUAAACUUCUUUUGCCUUGUUUGUACUUGCCCACGACUUCUUUUCACGCUGGACAGGUAGGUACUCUUUUUUUUUCUUUUAACUCUUACUUUAGUUUUUUUUAUGGAUACCCAAUUGUUAAUUUAUUAAAUAAUAAAUCUUUAAUAAUAAACCUAAAUUUAUGGCAUUUGAAUUAUUUGUAGAAUUUGAAUCAUAAAAACAUUGUCAAGUAUCUUGGAUCAUUGAAGACAACAAGAAGUUAGGUUUUGUAGUCUCUGUCUGGAAUUCUUGCUCUGAAGUUUGUCUAUUUUAUACGAGUUGAGUUUUCAUGGUUUGCUGUUGCAUUGUUUCUUCUGUUCUUUGUUUUGUUAUUGGAACUAUUUCCAAUUGUCUGGUUUACUUGAAAUCCGAUAUUUGAUUAAAGGGACCAAGUAGAGAGCACAAGUGAGAGCGAAGGCAGUGCAAGUGAUGAAGUGCUUGUUGUUCCUUAUGAUAACUUAGCACCUAUUUCUUGUGGUAAUAUUUUCUCAUUAUUCUUCUACUUUUGAAUUUAUUGUAUUCCAAAUAUAGCAUCAAGAAAAAUAUAAUAGUACAUUAGAGUUCAGCUUGUAUAAUUUGUUUGGAUUCUUUCUGUCUUGAAGCAGAUAUUACUGAAUCUAAGCAGCUUUUAGAUAAGCUUGUUGUGGUGAAGUAUAAUAGAGCUUUGGGAAAGAAUAUGGGUUUCGUUGGUCCCAAGUAAGCAAUUAUCUAACUUCUGGAAGUUUGAUACUUAUUUUUUUCCAAGAAAAGAGAAGCAUUUCUUGAUGAUUCCAUAGUUAUAUAUUAAAGACUUGCCUCUACAUAAAUGAAUAUAGUUUCUAUGACAUACAUAUAUUUAUGUAUGCUUUUUAUAUAUGCCUCUACAUUCAUAUAUUUAUAUAUGCUUUUUAUAUUGUAUUGUGCCAAAUAAAGAGAAUAAAAGUUUUAAUUAUUGAUAGAUUCUGCUACUUUUUUUAUGUACUUUUUAUUAAAUCACUCUUUAAUCAAAUGUAGAAUUAUAAAAUUAUUAAAUUUUACUAUAAAUAAUUAUCCUUAUAUAAUUAAUUAUUUUAGUAAAUUUUCCAACUAUCAAAACAGAUCACUCCACCAUCCCACGUCAAAAUUUUGUUAAGGGUAGGAGUUGAGAGAGGUAGAUACUUUGAUGAAUAUUUUCUUUUACAUGAUAAUUAUAUACUUCUUUAAGUUUGUUUUGGAUGUUGGGACAAUGUCAGUUGAUGCCGAAAUUUGAUAGUGCUGCAAAUUGAAGUGUUUAAGUGCUGCAAAUUGAAGUAUUUAGUUGCUGCAAAUUGAGAUGUUUUAUCGCUGUAAUUGAGGUGUAUAAAUGUUGUUAAUUGAUAUGUUUAAGUGCUGCAAAUUGAAGUGUUUAAAUGCUGUAAAUUGAAGUGUUUAAGUGCUGCAAAUUGAAGUGUUUAGUUGCUGGAAAUUGAGAUGUUUUAUUGCUGUAAUUGAGGUGUAUAAAUGUUGUUAAUUGAUAUGUUUAAGUGCUGCAAAUUUAAGUGUUUAAAUGCUGUAAAUUGAAGUGUUUAAGUGCUGCAAAUUGAAGUGUUUAAAUGCUGUAAAUUGAAGUCUUUAAGUGCUGCAAAUUGAAGUAUUUAGUUGCUGGAAAUUGAGAUGUUUUAUCGCUGUAAUUGAGGUGUAUAAAUGUUGUUAAUUGAUAUGUUUAAGUGCUGCAAAUUGAAGUGUUUAAGUGCUGCAAAUUGAAGUGUUUAGUUGCUGCAAAUUGAGAUGUUUAACGCUGUAAAUUGAAGUGUUAAAGUGCUACUUUCCAUUGUCACCUCCCCCAUUUCUUUAUGCAUCAAUAACUAUAUUAAUGAAAUCAAGUACUACAAUUAUAUACUAUUGCAGAUGGGGGUUGGAGAAUAUGAUCAAGGGGAAAACAUCAGAUAUGGUGAUUCCUAGCCAAGCAGUGGCUUCUUAGACACCCAACAUUUUGCACAACCAAACAUGACCACAACUUUUAAACCUACAUGUUGAGGUUGCUACACACAAGUCCCUUCCUUUUUUUAGUUUAUGUGCUAUGUGAUGAUUGUGUUUUAAAAUUUAACUUGUUUUAGUUCCUUACAUUCUUAUACGAUUCACACUCAAGGAGCUAGAUUUGGAGCUUAAACUGUCACUGUAAUCAGUAAUUUUUUUUUUGCUUCUUUAAAUGCAUGCUCAUGGAACUACAUCUUAUGCUUUCCUAGAAUUGUAAGUUCAAAUAAGGUGUUGAUCUGCAAUUUAUACAUACAACUUGAGCAAGUUGAUAUGAACUAGUUUCAAUUUUUUUUUUUAAAUGAAAGGAAUGUUAUGUAAUCAAAGGCAAUUUGACUUGUUGCAUGAGAUAUAGUGAAAAACAUUUAUCUUCUUAUUCAUGAAUUUCCAUUUUAAUACGUCUUCAAAUUAAAUUAUACAUUUUUUAAUUGGUAGAAUCUCACUUUUGCUGUUGCUGCAAUCUUUAACCAAAGAAUGGAGUGAUGUAUGUACUGAUAACAGUUCUAAAGGAUUUGUUUAAGCAAGUAAAGAGAUUGGCGUUUUUAUAAUAAUUUAGGAUAGGAAUGGAGCAAAUCCAAAGAAUGGAGUGGCAUUUUUAUAAUAAAUUUUUUUAUUUUUCGUGACCUUUACUAGCGUUUUUGGAGAAAGCGCCGCUAAAGGUCUUGUUUUUUAGCGGCAUUUUUGGGAAAAGUGCCGCUAAAGGUCUUAGUCUUUAGCGGUGUUUGUGGUAAAAGCGCCACUAAAGGUCUUGGUCUUUAGUAGUUUUUGUGGGAAAAGUGUCGCUAAAGGUCCUGGUUUUUAGCGGCGUUUGUGGGAAAAGCGUCGCUAAAGGUCUUGGUCUUUAGUGGCGUUUGGGGGAAAAGCGCUGCUAAAGGUCUUAGUCUUUAGCGGUGUUUGUGGGAAAAGCGCCGCUAAAGGUCUUGGUCUUUAGCGGCGUUUGGGGGAAAGCACCGCUAAAGGUCCUGGUUUUGAGCGGCGUUUGUGGGAGAAGUGCCGCUAAAGGUCAUGGUCUUUAGCUGCGUUUUUUCCGGCUAAAAAAGUGCCGCUAAAAGCCUGUUUUGGUGUAGUGAAUAUAAAAAUAAUAUAUAAUCUCAUUUAUUAUUUUUAAAUCGCAAUACAUAUUUAAUGUGCUAAAAUAUCAUUAGUGAAUCAAAUAAUUUAAUUAUUCUACAAAAAAAUAGAAGUAAUAAAUAACUUGAAAAUUAUAUUUUGCAUAAAUAUAAUAUUCAAAUAUUAACAAACAUACCCUAAAUCAAAUUUCAUGUAUAAUUUUAAAAUUUACCCCAAAGAUUUAGUGUACUUCUUGACCUGAACUUGACAAUUAAGUUUAUUUUAGUACUUGUAUAUUUUUUGUCCACUUUAAUAAUUGAACUUGACAAUUAGAUAUAUUUUAAUCUUUGAACUUGAAAUAUAUAAAAUUUUAUUGACAUAACACUUUAAGAUUGUCUCACAUCAUUAAAUUUGGACGGAAUAUAAAUUCAUAGUCAAAAUAGACCUACUUGUAAAGUUAGAUACUAAAGUAGACCCCAACAACAUAUAUAAGUAUCAAAAUGAAACUAGCUUACAAAGCAAAACUUCGUAUAAAAGAAGAUAAACAAAUUGUGCUACUUGAAGGGAACAACACUGGCACUGGAAAAACAUUCCGUGUUUGAGGACAUAAAAUCUCUUAAGCACUGCGUCCAGGUUAUGAGCUACUCACAGCAACACAGAUCGCUGGGAAAUAGUGUGCCAAAUUACCUUUUGUAUCUCUUCUUGGAACCACAUGGACAGGGAGCAUUACGGCUCAUUUCUCCACUCUUUACCAUAUUAAACUUGGUAAGAUCCAAUGGUGUUAAACCCGUUAGCUUUUGCACCUGCAAAAGAUAAAAAAAAACUAAUGACAUUUCCAAUGGAGAAAGAGAGAGAUGCAUAAACUAAUACUUGUCAUUGAUGUUUUAAACUGUGGGAGAAACAUUCAUCCGAACUCAAAUGCGAAUUUCAGCAACUGAAGAUGAAUGAAGGCAGACAUCUCAGUCUUUUAAGCAAUCUGGCAUUGAACCAAAAAAGCAUAACGCAGAUCAGCAGACCAAACAUCUGUAACUCUAUGUUAGUUCGACUCUUUCUUUUCCUUUAUGCAUCCAUGUUUGAUGCAAGUCUGGGACCAGAAUGAAUAUAGGGAGAUAAUCCUUUAAAAAUCCUCCAAAUACAUUAAAAAACUUGGACAAAAAAUGAACACAACACACCCGUGUCAAACAUAUAUAUCAGACACUCAAACUAUAGUCUGAACAACAAGAUAUACAAUCAUCAUUUUGACUCAGAUAAUAUGCAUAACUAACUCCCCUACCUUCUUAGACAAAUAUCUUACUUAUCUUUCAAAUAGCUCAUCCUACAUUCAACAUCAUAUUCACCGAGCAGCAGCCAAAAGACAAAAAUACAUUAACUUAGAGAAUUUAAGAUCAGACAAAUUGAGCAAUAGGCAUAAAGACACUAGCUCAUACGUUUUAAUCAUUCAACAUAUUAUCAGCAAAAACAUAACUGAAAAAAACCAGUGGUGAACCUACCACAGCAAAGUUCUUUGGCAUCGGUUUGCCUUCCUCUUUCAGCUUAACCAUCUUCUUAUGAACUUCUUUAGCCCAUGUGAACUUCGCAAGCGCAUUCUCAACAUAUAAUAAGGUACAAUCACACUGUUUUGCAGCUUCUUUCUUUUGACUCAGUUGGAGAUUCUAAAAAAAAAGUCAAAAUCUAAAUCCACAAUCAGCGAAUUCACCUACAGGGCUCCAACCAUGUUUUAUAGUUUGGACGAGAAAAGGCAGCACCUUCUUACAUGCAAUGUCAGUGGUCAACAGGACUGGAAUGCUCGCCUGUUUAUCAUGGUGGAAAUCAAAUUCUUAUAUAAAACAUAGUUAACAUUUCUCAGCAUAAAGCCUUCAUCUUUUGUGCAAACAAAUUUUAAAUUAACAGAACUCAACUAGUCGAAAUCACAAGCCAUUCAAAAAACAAUAGAAUCAGACAAACAUGUAAUAGAAUAAAAAUUUUCAUCUGUUCAAUCUGUUCAAUCGAACAAACAUUGAAAACAUUGAAAGAAUUUUCAUCUGUUCAAUCGAACAUGCAAUACAAAGAAAAGCUGAAUGGAAAACGCUAGAAACGAAUCAAAAUUAGGAGAACAAAAACAAAUAUUCCAGAUUUGAGCAAAAGCAAAACUAAAUCGAUUUUACAGAAAAGAGAAGAAAAGAAAAACAGGGAAAGAGUGUGAGAAUUUUUCGUUGUUGAUAAAAUGGAGAAAAGAAAAAAAACGAGAGAAGAAAAGAAAUGUACGAGAAUAAAAGAAGCAGAAAUCGAUGGAAGGGAAAAAAUUACCUUGCAAAACGUCGGAGAGGAUGAGCGCAGAAAACGAAAAAGAUGGUAACAAAUUGGGAGGGAAUCCCUAUUCCGCGCUUAAACAUCAGAAUGGCUAUUACAGCCAACGUGGGUAAUAGAUGCGGAACGGAACCAAACAUCCGUUUGGUGGUGGGCCUAGGGAAUUGGGGGGAAUGCAUACCGAUUCCCCCCAACCAAACAUACCUUGAGUUUGUUCUCUUAAGAGGAAAUGGUAAUGAGGUGUAAAAGCCAAGAGGAAAUGAUUAUCUUUACCGCUAGAAAUGAACAAGGUAUGUUAUUCAUAUUUUUCUCCGGAUGCAGGUUUUAAUUGGGCAAUAGUUUUACUUUUGUUAUAGCUAGAGGUUUUACUUGUCAUGCAUCUUACUGCAUUUGGUUAGUUUUAUGUUUUAUUGUUUUAUCUUUCUGGCAUUUUAUAUUUAGUUCUCCUAUUUUUUUAGACAAUUUCUGCAACAUUGGUUUCCUAUGACGUGAUAGUAUUUUUUUGUUGUAGUAGUGAUAACAUUUGUGGUUGGCAAGAUUCCUUUAACACGGUUUAUCUGGAAAGGUCUAUCUUUGGGUUGCUGAUAGUGUCACCGAGUGAAAUAAAUGCUAGUUGUGGCUCUUAUGAUUACAAACUAUUAGCUUAUUGGUAAAUUGAAUGUUCAGAUGUCAUGACUGAUGUAAAUUCACAUACUUUUAAACAUUGUGCAUCUUCUAAUUUUAUGAAUUUUAACAACAAAAAGUUUUCUAUACAUAAUGAUUAUUUGAUUACUGUAUGUUUGAUCUUGGAUUUCUGUUGCUAAACAUGAAUUGGAAUAAAAUGAAUGCUAGUUGUUCAUUUGAAUAACAAGAAUGAAAUAAAUGCUAGUCAAGGCCUCUAAAAGACUAAUUUAGUAAUUUGGCUGAAUUGAACCCUUAUAUCAUUAGGGAAUAUAACAGAAGAACUACUAAUAGUUUGAAUAGAACAUAAUGAACUGAUUAAUAAUACAUUUAAGAGGUAUGUUAGUAGCUGCUAGUCUCUAGUUCCUUGAGAGUUUGGUUGUUCAGAGUGUCGUCUAGGAUUGUAUUCUGUGCUGUCCAUGCAAGUGUAAUAAGAUUGACUAAGGUCUUUUCCCUUUGAAAUUGUUGAUCACUCAAUUAAGCUCAGUUGACCGGCUAUCAUGUCCUUGCUCAAUUAAGCUCUGCCAUAACUGCACGAAAGAACAACAAUUCCAUACACUCAUUACAAAGAAUACAAGUAGUGGAGUUCACGGACUAGACAAUUAAAGAGAACUUUACACAUGUAACCAAAUUCACCAAUAUGAGCAUUGAUAUCUCAUUUUUAUGAGAUCUUAUUAGAUUAUUGAUUAUGAAUAUGUUUACUCGAUCAUUUCAAGAUCAUGGUUUCAUUACAUGGAGUUGUUUGAUGGUGAAGGCAAUAAUACAUUUUUAAGAUUACUGCAGCCAAAAGAGUUGUUGCAAAGGAGACCAAAGUCCAGAACUCUUUUUCUUUUGUGCUUCCACAACUGAGUUCUCCAUUACCUCAACUUUCAGCUUCAAAUCUUGAGCUACUUGUCUCUUUCUGUCAUUGAUUGUUACUUUUAUGUGGUCUAAUAUUAGUUAUGCACUUGGACAAUGUUGUUGUUAUUAUGUGGUGUACUACUAAUUAUGCAUUUGGAUAAUAUUAUUAAUUUCUAGUAUUAAUUGUGGUUUGGAAGCUAAUUUAUAAUUAUUCAAUCCUUAUUUUUUAUUUUUUAACACAAUUAUAAAUAAUUUAUUUGACUUUGGUUGUUUUCAAUUUAUGACGGUUAAUAUUGUAGCUUAAUAAUUGAGUAUUUUGAUUUAUUUAUUUAUAAAUAAAUCAUUUCAAUAUAUGUAAAAAUAAUUUAAAAUAUAAAAAUUUAUUAAUAUGUAUAUAAAUUUAUUAAUAUAUGUAAAAACAACUUUUUCGGAAAAUAUUUUCAGGAAAUCUACCAAACAACAAAAAAUAUUUUACACAGAUUCAUCCAAACACUAGAAAAUAUUUUCAGUAAAUCAUUUUCCAGAAAAGUAAAUCAUUUUCAGGAAAUCAUUUUUCGAAAAACAUUUUACUGGCAAACAAACGAACCCUUAUUGCUCAUGGUCAUCAACCUAUAAACCCAAGAGCAUUAUUAGCUUCUAAAUCCAAAACACUAAUAUCAGCAUCCAACCCAACAAUGAUAGUCUUAUUGACUCAUUUAAACAAGUUUCCUUUGUCAAUCUAUAUUCUGUAUUUGGUAAUCUCCAAUAUGAUUUCAGAACAUACGAUAGUUGGAAGAAGAAUAGCAGCAAAGAUGCAAAGGGAAAUGACUUAUACGAGGAGGAAGAACCAUCUUUUGGGUGCAAACCUGUAUACCAUAUAAUAGGAUGUCCUGUAUAAUGUCACGAGAGCUAGUACCGUUGCCAAGCAGUAAUUACUAAUGCUAAUAUGAUGAACAGAAAAGGAUCCAGCCGUAAGAUAGUAUGGAUACUGAAAUGCGAGUGUCCGUAUGGAAACAGCAACUAAAAGCAUGUAACAGGUCCCAAAACAGGUCCCAAACAAGGAAAGUGUUAUGAGAAUCACUACACCAAAAUAGGCUUUUAGCGGCGCUUUUUUAGGCCUUUAGCAGCGCUUUUUAGCGCCACUAGCGCCGCUAAAAACGCCGCUAAUGACAGUGUCGCUAACUUUAGCGGCGCUUUUUCCACAAACGCCACUAAAGACCAAGACCUUUAGCGGCGCUUUUACCACAAACAUCACUAAAGACCAAGACCUUUAGCGACGCUUUUCCCACAAACGCCGCUAAAAACCAUGACCUUUAGUGGCACUUUUACCACAAACGCCGCUAAAGACCAUAGCUUUUAGCGGCGCUUUUCAAACAAACGCCACUAAAAAUAUAUCUUUUAAAAAAAUUAAUUUUUUUCAAAUAAUAUUUAUUUCUAUAAUAAAUAUUAUAUUAUGUUUUAAGGAUAAAUAAAAAAUAUUAUUUAAAUUAAAUUUUCUACAAAAAUUUUAACUUUAAAACUAAAUAUAAAUAUAAAAAUUAAUGAAUUUAAAUUUAGAAUUUAAAAUAAUAAAUUAAUAACACAAUUAAAAUCCAAAAGUUAGAACACUUAAGUAAAAAUAAAAAUUUAGAAUCAAAACUAAAAUAAAUGAUACAUAUGCAAGGUAAUAAAAUAUACAAUGCAUUUUCUUAAUCAAGUAAAUCUUGGUUACAAAACUAACACAGAAAAUAACACAGUAUACAGUAUGUUUUGUCUUUCACAUUUUAAAAAUAAUAAUAAUAGCAUGUUUGUUUGCAUGCUACCAUGAUCAAAACACAAAAAUGAAGUUCUCCACCUAAUACAAAUUUCUCCUACGAAUGUGCAGAAUCAGAUCUCUAGAUUCUCGGAGUUCUUCAUCUGGUGCUGUCUCGAUGGUUUUGAUUAUUGUGUCAUCUAGCUGGAUUCAAAAAAAAGAAUAGAAUGCAAAGCAUGUUAUACAUUUGGACUCCAAAUUUUUAGCAACUCAAAAGAAUGCUAAGAAUGUUGUCCAACCUUCCAGUACUCACAAGGAUCUUGAAUAAAAAUGAAAUCAGACCUCACCACUUCAUAUAAGAAGCCUACACAACUAAUUACACAAAAGAAAAAGAUGAGAAAAAAUAACAAUGUAAAAAAGACGUUUGAAUGAGAUAAUAUAGAACCCAGAGUUAACUCUGUGAAUACCUUCACUUUAGAGUGGGUGUACACAGUUCGAUAAAGAUCAGCACGAGUAGCAAAUAACUUGUGGAUACUAAGAUCUAGCAAGAGCACCCAUUACCAUUAUUAAGGAGUAAAAAAACACUAAAAGAACUAAACAUGUAUUUUGCAAGUAAAUGAAUUAGAUGAUACUAACAGUCUUUAGCACGAUAGCAGAUCUCAUCACCCAAAACUCGCAGUCUCCAUGAACCUGCAGGUGGUGUAGUAUGUAUAUUAAGUUUCACUUACUUAUCCACAUCAAUUCCAUUCUAACCAUUUGCAACAAUAUCAUAUAAGAAUUGCUUCUCCUUUGCACUCUUCAAAGUAAGCACAAAAUAGUGUAUGUGUUAGAUAAAGAAAAGAAACAAAGAAUGUUUGUACUUCAUACUGGAGCAAAAUAUAAAAAAUCCAGUGAUCAACAUGUGCCUACACUUAAAAUAUAAAAAAUCUAGUGAUCUACCGAAAUUAAACUAUUCAUCAAAAUGAUUGCAAUUAACUGAGUUAAAACAUGAUUUUUUUUCUUUUCUUGCAAAUAUCUAAAGUUUUUUAUACCUUCCCAAAUGGUGAAACAAGCUGGUGAAGUGCUGUAAUUCUGUCUCCUAAUUUUUCUUUCCUCACCUGCCAUAUAACAUAUAUAUGUAUAUAUACAAGUCAGAAAAAAAGAAAAAGUAGGUGAUUAAUUUACUAUUUUACUUUCACUUAAACUAUAUUCUCUUUUUCAUACAUUAAUAGAAUAUGAUAGUUACAGCAAAAAAAAAAGAAAAAGAAUCAUCCCUCUAGAAAUCGACAACCAAACAAGGACAACAGUUUUUACCACCCCACAUGUAUUUUGUGUAUGUGUAUAUAUAUAUAUGCUUGUGAGUGUGCGUGUGCGUGUGCGUGUGCGUGCAAUCUGUAUUGAGAUAAAAAAAAACAUAUAUUUAAUUAUAUAAAAAUUAUGAUAAAAGUAUCAUGGAAGUCCCUGUACUAAAAGGUGGAUUACAUUUUGCCCUUUUACUCAAAUGGUUUAAUUUAAACACUCAUUCAACAGCUAUUACCUAAAAUGCUACCACUUUUGAGGUAUAAAAUCAGUGGAAGUCUAAAUGAACAAAGUCCUAAGCCAAUCAAAACAAAGUCACCAAGAAAUGAAAAAACAAUCUGUUCUUAUCCUUUCGAAACAGUGACCAAAUACAAUGAAUUCAAAAGGUUGUCCUUUUCAUAUCUGCUUAUCAACCAAAUACGCAAUGAGAAAAAAAAAUCAUGAUCCGCCAGCAGAAAAGCUUGAAAUUUGAAUGGAUCAAAUGAAACAUAAAUCUAAUGUAAAACACACCUGGAGAAAGCUUAAAAGAAGAGCUUUGAUGAGAUUUUCUGGUGUGAGCUCUGGCUGACGCUGCUGAUAUCUUCCUUCUAACUUCCCCAUUAUCGUCCCUCAAAACCCAAUAAUCUGUAAAACGAAGACUCCCCCAAAUUACUUCAGAUGUCUCUCUUAAAUUCUAUUUAAAAAAAUUAAAAAUCUAUAAAAAAAAUCAGUUACUAUAAAAAAAAGAGAUAAGUGUGAAUUAAAAAUAUAAUCCCAAAUACUGAUUCAAUUGCAGACUGGGAUUUAUUUCUUACCUCAAAGGUACAGCAAUGGUUGUAACCUCUGUAACCUGUUUGUGAAACCUCUGUAACCUGUUUUACUAGUAAAGCCGAUAAUAAUCCAGAAACUGGUUGUAACCUCUUUGUAUUUGCCUGGGAAACCAGAAAUCUUCUCAUUAUCAGCAUAUGUUGAUUUUUUUUAUAAUGUCGCAGGGAGGGAGGGAGGGACAGAAAGCAAGAGAGACGGCGAAGAGUUUUAGGAGGGAAAAUUAGGGGUUUCGGGGAAAUUUGGGGCUAAAAUGGGGGGAGAAUUUUUAAAAGUGAAAUUAGGGUUUUUAGAGGGAAAUUUUGGGAUAAAACGGCGCCAAGUGAAAUUAUUUUUGCGACGUUUUAAAAAAAAAGCCGGGAAUGUACCUUUUGUGGAUUUUUUUUGAAAACGUCACUAACAAAUUUAAAUUCUUUUAUUGAAAUGACGUCGUUUUGAGAAAUAUUAAUACAUAGUAACGGCGUUUUUUGCUAAAAACGCCGCUAAAGCUCUCAUAUUUUUUAUAUUCAAUUAUUGUAUCUUUCAUAUAAAUUAUACAUAAAAGAAUUAUUAAAAUUUUAAGUAAUAUUUAAAAGAAUUAAAUAAUAUUAUAAAUUUAGUUUUCUUAUUUCAUUUUUAUUUUUGUAUUUUUUUCUUAUAAUUUGGUCCUAUCUAAAUUAAAUAAUUACCUAUAUAUCCAUAUCAAAUAUAUCAAAUGGUUUAAAUUAAAUAUUUUUAAAUAUAAAAGCAGUAAUUAAUUGUAUAAAAUUGUAUCAUUUAACAAAUCUCAAAUAAACCUUAAACCCUAAAUUAACCAUUCAAUAUACAUAAAGUCUAUCUAUUAUAUAUCUCUUACAUAAUAUAAACUAUACUCAUAAUUUCAAUAUAUUAAAUUUAUUAUUAUCUCUUUUACAAUUAUAUAAGAACAUAUUUAAUAUAUAAAUUAAAAAAUCAAUUAAUCUAAACCCUAAACCUUAACCCGACCCUUGAAACCCUAAAUCCCUAACUCCUAACCCCUAACUCUUAACCCCUAAACCUUAAAUCCCAACCCUUAAACCAUAAUCCCUAAAUCUAUAUAUAAUCCCCGAACCUUAAAAUAGUAACUCCUAAACUGGCUUUAAAUAUUAAAUUAACCAUAUACCGUAAACCAUAUAAACCCUAAACUAUAAUGAUAAUUAAUUAAAUAUUUUAAAAUUAAUACUAUCUUAUCUUUUUCAAUUAUAUAUGAAAUUAUUUAAUAUAUAAAUUAAAAAACAUCAAUAAAAUAUAAAUUAAAAUGCUUUUUUUUGGAUAAUUUAAUGAAUAUGGCAGGAUUAACUCUAAACCCCUAACCCCUAAAUUCUAAACUUAGCCCUAAACCUUAAACCCCAACCCUUAAACCAUAAACCAUAAACAAUAAUCCCUAAACUAUAAUGAUAAUUAAUUCAAUAUUUUAAAAUUAAUACUAUCUCUUUUACGAUUAUAUAAGAUAUUUUUAAUAUAUAAAUAUCAAACACGUCAUAGACACUUAAAACUUUGAGAUAGUUAUACUAUUUUUUAUUUCACUUAUAGGAACCUCAUACACUCAAGCACUGCAAGUCUUUUGUGAAUUAACCAAUGGUUAUGAAGAUCUACUACUUACGGUUAUCAAUGCCAGCUGGAAUCACAAAUAUUAACAAGAAUCAGACAUAGAUAGCAAAAUUAAUCAAGCACUUUCAAGGGACAUUCUAGCAGUUCUUUAAAGAAAUGGAUUUCAAUCCAAAAUUCAACAGUUCUGUAACUAGCCUAGCAGACAGAUGGAAAAAUAAUAUUUAUUUUAGAGAUCAGUCUACCUCUUAAGUGGAAUAACUUUCUAUAAACUUUAACCUUGUGAACUUUUUUAUUAAUAUAUUUCUUCUAAUACUUCUUAGAGAUAAUCACAGUCAAGAGAUUCAACCAUUAAGAUUCAAUGGAUGGUUAAUAUAAGACCAAACAAAGACAAUGCAUCUAAUUUAAUAAGCUCAGCAGUGCUCACGAAUAAAGCAAAACAGUGUAUAAGAAAUUAUUUAGUAUGUAAAUUAAAAAACACUCAGUAAUGUACCCAAAAAACUUAAAAACUAUUUUAAAUAAUAGUAUUUUAAAUCAUGUACCCAAAAAACUUAAAAAUAUUUUUUGCGGCGCUUUUUAAAAAACGCCGCUAAAAAUAGAGCAUUAGCGGCGCUUUAUCAAAAACGCCGCUAAAGACCAGAGCAUUAGCGGCGCUUCUUCAAAAAUGCCGCUAAAGACCCGAGCAUUAGCGGCGCUUCUCCAAAAACGCCGCUAAAGACCCGAGCAUUAGUGGCGCUUAUUCAAAAACGCCGCUAAAGACUCGAGCAUUAGCGACACUUCUUCAAAAACGCCGCUAAAGACCCGAGCAUUAGCGGCACUUCUUCAAAAAUGCCGCUAAAGACCCGAGCAUUAGCAGCGCUUUUCGAAAAAUGCCGCUAAAGCCCUGAAAAAUCAAAAAACGAUGUCGUUGUGCUUGGGUUUUUUGCGACGCUUUUUGAAAAAUGCCACUAAUGUUCAUUUUUAGCGGCGUUUUCCAAAAAACGCCGCUAAUACUGGAUCUUUAGCGGCGUUUUUCCUAAAGCGCCGCUAAUGCUUGAUUUUUAGCGGCGUUUUUUGUUCAAACGCCACUAAAAACGCCGCUAAAAGCCUAUUUUGGUGUAGUGAAUAAACAAGUAGAUUGAACGGCUGGGUAGGAGAUAGGCUGUUAAAACAGUUGUUGCCCAAAAGGUUAAAGUGUUGUAUAACCAAAACAUUGUGCACACGUUUAGUAUAGGUUCUAUUUUUUUUUCUUCAGCGGGUGGAGGACUUGGUACGGGUCCAGUGCUGGUUAAACCUAAAGAUGCGUCAUACUUGAGUUGGAAAUUCUGGGAAUUUGAAAUGGUACCAGGCUGCUUUGGAGGGUUCAAAGUGGCAGUGUAUGUGGCUGUUAUAAUUAGCACUGUGACUACUAAAAAUGUGUUACGCAUCUCAUGUGGGAUUCCCUUUGUUGACACCAUUUUUUUUAUAAAACAAGGUCGACUUGGGUUUUAAAAAUGAAAACAAACACGAGAGUCGCCACCAAUCCUUUUUGAUAAGGUGUGAUCGGGCCACCUUAAAAGUGGUUAUUUUUAAUAAACAAUUUAAUUUUAUUAAAACAACGAUUUCGGUCCACGAAAUUCAAAAAAUCGGUUCAGGAGUCGUUUACGUACGAGGAAUGAUUAGCACUCUCGUAACGCCCAAAAUUGGUACCUAGUUGAUUAAUUAACGUCUUAAUGUUGAAGGUCGAAAGAUUUUAAAAUACGAUCCUUAUAUUAAAAACUUGGAUAAAUCAAAUUAGCCGUUAGGACCCUCUCAUUUCAGAGAGAGAAAAUAUUAUACCCAAUGAGUUAGGGCAUGAUAUUUCACCUCUUCAAAAAUGUGCUUGUCUAAACAACUCGUACAGUAAAAUUUAAAAGGAUAUUCAAUUGUUUAAGUCAGGUGAAAAAAUUGUAGCCCAAUACGUUAGGGCACAAUUUCUCAAAAUUCUAAACAUUGAAUAUUGCCUUUAUUUAUUUUUUAGAAAAAUUCACGUCUCGAGAAAACAACGUGUCAUAUCCAAUGCGUUAGGAUUCAACGUAUUGAAUUCCCGAUAAUGAGUUUUUAUUUAUGUUUUUGAUUAAAGAGCAUUCUCGAUUAUUUAGAUUCAACGAAGAAAAUUAGAACCCAAUACGUUAGGGCUCAAUCCUCUCGAAAAUCCCAGAUAUUGAGUAUUGCUAUUAUUUUAGAAAUUUUCCUUUUUUCCAAAUCUGAGUAAAAAUUGAUGUAAUGGAAUAACAAUUAUGAUAAUAUAAGUAAAAAUAAUAAGAGCAAAAACAAAAAGAUAAAUAAAUAAGAAGACAAAUAUUAAUAUAUAAAAAAAUCAUUCAUGUAUACACAAUAAACAAGUAAUAAGCAAAUAAAAGUGAAACAUUCUUUUAAAAUAAUAAUGAAAGCGUAAAUAGAUAAAUAAAUAAAGAAAAUGAAUAAAAUUAUAAGAAUGUAAAAAGAUAUAUGUAUGUACAUAUAUAUAUAAAUUAUAAGAUAUAAUAAGAAAUAUAUAUAAGCAUGUAUAUAUAUAUUUAUAAAAAUUAAAAAAUAUGUAUAUAGAUAUAUAUAUGCAUAAAAAUUAUAAAUUAUAAAAUAUAAAAAAAAUAUAAGAAUGUAUAUAUAUGUAUAAAUUAUAAAUAAGUUAUAAAAAUAUGUACGGGUAUAGGUAUAUAUAUAUUAUAAAAAUGUAUGUAUGUGUAUAUAUAACAAUAUAUGCAUGUGUAUAUAGAUAACAAAAUUUGAAGUUUAAAAAGUAUAGAUAAUAAUAUUAAUGAUGUAAUAUAAUAAUAAUAAUAUAUUAAAAUGAUCAAUUUAAUAAUAAAUAACUAAAAUACCAAGCAGAGGACUAAAUCGAAACUAAACAAAACUUUAGGGCCGAAAUCAAAAAUGAAGAGUAGAGAAAAGGACUAAAUCAUAACGCGUCUGAAAGGAAAAGGACCAAAAAAGAAAUAAACCAAGUCACCCAAAACGCAGCGUUGCAAUGGACUAAAAUGAAAUCAGUGAGAAAUUAUGCAGUCCAAUUUGAAGAAUAAAAAAAAUCAAAUUAAAACAAAGUGCAAAGGUGGAGGGCUUAAUGCGCAAAUAUCCCUCCAAAGUAAAAAAACACGCGGAUCCUUCUCAGGGUCGGGUCACUGCGCGGGUCAGGGCUAAAACGGCAUCAUUUUGGCUCCUGACCCUAAACAGCAAAACGCCGCCGUUUAAUAACCUUUAUUUAAAACAUAUUUUUUCUUAGAAAAAAAAUCAUUUUUUAGGGUUUUAGAAUAAAAUUGCAGAGGAAGAAACUCUCCUGUCGUCAGCCGAAUGGGCCACCAUCGGCCCCGCCGUGGGCGGUGGGCAGAAGGCCAAAAGUUGGGUUUUUUAAACCCCGCUUCAAGGGCCGUCUGAAGAUCGAGUUUUCAUGACCCUAAGGCCAUAGGAAGAAACCCCAAACGUCGCCUUCCCCAUCCGCUUUCGGUGACUCGAAGGACUCCGGUGACGACACUUACACGGCGAUUCAGGUAUGUUUUCCUUUCUCUUUUUAUUCUAUUUAUUUCGUAUGUAAAAAAAAAGAAGAAAUGGACCGAGAGAAAAAGCCAAUCGGAAAAUGUAAAAGGAAUCACCUUUAAAACUGUUUUCUUUUUUUAUUUCUUGAAUGUUCGUGGAAAAAAAAAGAAAAAAGACCCCCUUACAGAUGUAAAGAUCGGUUUUUAAAUCGAUUCUCCCCCCAAAAAAAUACAAAAAGUUUUUUUUUUAUUUCUUUCUAUUCUUCCUGUCACUGCUUCGGUUGCUUUGCAAGUACUUGAUGGUGGCAAGUGGCGGUGGGUAGGUGACAGAGGGCAAGUGAGCGGCGAUGUGACAAUGGCGGCUAAUCAGGGCAAGUGGGCGACAGAGGCUGCGACGCUAGGCUAGGGUUUCAGAAAAUUGAAACCCUAGUUUGACUGGGUUUGUUGGGCUGGUUUUUGGUCUGUAUUUGGGUUGUUUGUUUGGGCCAAGUUUGGGUUGAUAUGGUUAUAAUGGGCCCUUUGUAAUUUUUUGGGUUUGCCUGGGCAAAAUUCGGCUGUACACCCUUCUUUCCACGACUUGCUAUUGUUGCAAAUUUUUGAAGACUGACACCUUUCCUUUUAAAGAUUCGAUGUGGAAUGAAGAGAUGGAGGCUUUGGGAAGCGAGGAAGAGGAACCACUCAAACCUCCUGCUUUGCUUAUCAUGUCUUUAAUGGACUCCUUAUCGUCCACUCUCCCUUCAUCCAAUGGGUAUUGUGAUGGGAUAUCAAGUGCAGUCAAUCCCUUAGCAUUUUUGCAUUGAUAUGGUCAGCACACAAGCGUUUCAACAGUAAUUUUACCACCUGUUAAUUAGAAUAUUCAUACAAGUAACCUUUGAGUAUAUAUAUACAUAAAUAAUUUCACUUGCAAAAUUAUCAUACCUUAGGUCUGUUUCUGAUAGCAGCAACAUGUAAAACAAUGUUGCCAUCAAUGUCUGCCCAACUCAGAAGUUCUUUCUCCCAACAGUUGGCAGCUUUAUGGCGGCUCCUUAUAAGCCACCCCACCAAGACUUGGAAAGCUUCAAACCUGUCAUUUUUUACAUGAUUCUUUACAUGUUUUUGGUUCCACUGCAUAUUAUCAUGUAAAAGAAUCUAAGUUAGACCCAAGAGCAAAGAAAGCAUUAUUCAUGGGUAUAACUGGUGGAGUAAAAGGAUACCGUCUCUGGUGUCCUGAUACAAGGAAAAUUAUUUUCAGUAGAGAUGUGACUUUUGAUGAAUCAACCAUGAUGAAGAACAAUGAUUCACAAAAGGAUAACACAACCAAUGGCACUUUGCAGCAGGUGGAGCUUGAAAAGGUUAAUGAUGAUCCAGCUAAUAUUGAAGGAACAAAUGAUGAAGAAGUUUCGACCCAAGAACUUCUACAGCAACAUGAUUCAAUUGCAUAUAGAAGGCCAAGAAGAGAGAUUUGUAUGCCUGCUCGCUUUAAUGAUAUGGUGGCCUAUGCACUUCCAAUUACAGAUGAUGAUGUUCCUUCUACUUACACAGAAGCAAGAAGUAACCCUGAUGGUGUAAAGUGGAAGCAAGCUAUGAAUGAAGAAAUGCAGUCUCUUCAUAAAAAUAGGACUUGGGAGUUGGUGACACUACCCAAAGGAAAGAAGGCAAUUGGAUGCAAAUGGGUAUAUUCAAAGAAGGAAAGAUUUCCUGAUAAAAAUGAAGUUCGAUACAAGGCUAGAUUGGUAGUAAAGGGUUACGCUCAGAAAGAAGGAAUAGACUACAAUGAAGUAUUUUCUCCAGUUGUGAAGCAUUCGUCUAUUCAGAUUUUGCUAGCCUUGGUUGCGUAAUAUGAUCUUGAACUAGUUCAGCUCGAUGUGAAGACCACAUUUUUACACGGUGAUUUGGAAGAGGAAAUCUAUAUGACUCAGCCAGAUGGAUUCAAGGUUACUGAUAAAAAAAAUUGGGUUUGCAAACUGACAAAGUCACUUUAUGGAUUGAAACAAUCUCCGAGGCAGUGGUACAAGAGAUUUGAUCAGUUCAUGAAAGGGCAAAGGUAUACAAGAAGUAAAUUUGAUCAUUGCGUGUAUUUUUAGAAGCUACAAGAAGGAUUUUUCGUAUACUUGCUCUUAUAUGUUGAUGAUAUGUUGAUAGCAUCUAAGAGUAAAGUUGAAAUUGAGAGAUUGAAGACUCAACUCAACCUUGAGUUUGAGAUGAAAGAUCUAGGUGAAGCUAAGAAGAUCCUUGGCAUGGAAAUAUGUAGGGAUAGAGCUCAUGACAGAGUUAGUUUGUCUUAGAAGCAAUAUUUAAAGAAGAUACUACAGAAGUUUGGCAUGAACGAGCAGACUAAAGUUGUAAGUACCCCGUUGGCUUCUCAUUUCAAGCUUUCUACACAACUCUCUCCUUCGACAAAUAUGGAACAAGAAUACAUGUUACAAGUUCCGUAUUCUAAUAUGCAAUUGUGUGUACAAGACCCGACAUUUCACAGGCAGUUAGUAUAGUGAGCAGGUAUAUGCAUAAUCCUGGAAAAGGACAUUGGCAAGCUGUGAAAUGGAUUCUACGGUAUAUUCAUAAGACCAUGGAUAUUGGAUUACUGUUCAAGCAGGAUACUACACUUGGUAAAGGUGUUGUUGGGUACGUUGAUUCUGAUUAUGCCGGUGAUUUGGACAAACGGAGAUCAACCAUUGGUUAUGUGUUUACUCUUGCUGGAGGACCAAUAAGUUGGAAGUCUACACUGCAGUCUACAGUUGCGUUGUCAACCACAUAAGCUGAAUACAUGGCUGUAACAGAGGUUGUAAAGGAAGCUAUUUAGUUACAAGGUAUGGUUAAAACCUUGGGUUGGUUCAGGAGCAUAUUAAUGUGUAUUGUGAUAGUCAAAGUGCUAUUCAUUUAGCAAAGAAUCAAGUCUAUCAGGCACGUACAAAGCAUAUCGACGUACGUUUCCAUUUUGUGCGGGAAAUUAUUGAUAACGGGAAAAUUCACCUUCAGAAGAUUAAGACUGCAGAUAAUCCUGCAGAUAUGAUGACCAAGGUGGUAACAACAAUCAAGUUCGAACAUUGUUUGAACUUGAUCAAUAUUCUGCAUGUUUAACACUUGAAGAAUCCACUAUCAAGUGUUGUUGACAAAGGCAGAGAGAAUUGUGUGAAGAUAAGAUUACUCGAAUCAAAUCUUCAAGGUGGAGAUUAUUGGGAAUUAUCCAUAUUUAUGGAAAAUCAAAGAUAUGGGUAUCAAAUAAUAGAAAUUCAAAGAUAUGGGUAUUAAAUAUUGGAAAGUCAAAGAUAUGGGUAUCGAGAUAUUGGCAUCAUAAAAUUUGAGAUAUUUGCAAUAUAUGGUCUCUAAUUGUAAAGUGACUUUGCAAGUUGAUCCCUGAACCUCAACUAUAAAUAAGCAUGACCAUCUCUCAUUCUGUAUCUCAAACUUGCCAUUCUUUACUUAAGGCAUUGUUUUCUCUCUCUCUCUCUUUGUAAAUUCUCACUUGUAUUUUGGAGUGAAAUAUAUUUGGUAGUGGCCGAGGAUGUAGGCAAAAUUUGCUGAACCUCGUUAAAUUAUUGUGUUCUUUAUUGUAUUAUUCUGCAUGAAUUGUGUGUGUGAUUGUAGUGAUUUAUUGUGCCAUUAAAUUACGAUUGAGGGAUAUUCUGGCUAAGGAAGACCUGGUACUUAAGCGAUCCUUGUGAUCCACCUCUCUUUCCUGGGAAUUGAACUUAGUGUGAUUUUUUAGUACAAAAAUUUUACUCUUUUACACGCUUCCGCACAACAUCUUUAAUGAUAAAAGCUUAAAGAAUAAUCUUUAAAAUUUGGUUGUUGGUAGCUUUAUUUGGGUAGAAUUUGAGAUUUAGUUCAUAUAUUUUAAAUGUUAAAAUUUUAAUUUUUUUUACUUUUUCAAUUUAAUAUUGUAAAAUAAAACCAUAAAAAAAAUUGUGUACAAAUAGUAUUGAAUUUACAUAAAAAUAUAUAAAAAAUGCAGCAUAAAUUUGAAUAAUAAUACAUGAACACUUAAAAUGAUAAUAUAUGAAAAAAAACUUAAGAUAAUAAUAUACGAUAAAUUUAAACAAUAUUAAUAAUGAAUUUAAAAUAAUAUUAAGCAUAAAUAUUAAAAUAAGGUUAGAUUUAAAAAUAUAUAAAAAUAAUGGAAUAAUAAAUACUUAAAUAAAUUAGAAAAAUAAGCAAAUUAAAUCAAGCUAAUAAGGAUUAAAUUGGAUUUAAAACAAAAUUAGAAGGCAAAAACGUAAAUAAAAUAAAAUAAAGGACCCAAUUGAAAGGCGCGAAUAACUCAAAGGGACCAAAUGGGGAAAUAUCCCCGCCUUUUGAAAUGCAUCGUUUCACCAGGACCAAAUCAGAAACCAAAUAAAAUUUAAAGUAUCAAUUGAAGAAAAUAAAAAAAAUUGAAUUAAAAUAAUAAAAAAUACGGAGGGGGCAAAUGCAUAAAUAUCCUUACCAAGACCAGAACAGGCAGAUCUAGCUGCCUCUGGGUCGAGUCAUCGGGUAUAGUCAAUACGGCACCGUUUUGGAGCCAUUGAAACAGACUUUAAAUGGUGCCGUUGCAUGGCCUUUAUAAAACAAAAAAAAAAAGAAAAAUAAACAAGUUUUUAGCCAUUUCGAAUCAGAUAAAAACCUUAGCCACACGCCGUUUAGAAGCCUGGCCAUUCAAAGGCCAAUCGAUCCCUGUCUGAACUUCGAUUGCGACAGAGUGAGCAAGGAUUCGACACCACCAAGUAAUUUUCUCACCUUAAAUCGUUUUUUUCUUUUUUUACACAUGAUGAGUAAACAAAUAGAUGAGUCUAGAACAGAAAAGAAAAACAACGAAAAGAAAAAAAAAGGUUUCAAAUCACCUUUAGAAAAUUCUGAUUCUUUGAUUUUUCGUCCCCUUUUAUAGAUUUUUAAUUGGCUUUUUAUAGCCGAAACGAAAAAAAGAAAAUAUGUAAAAAAGAAAUCUAUUAUGUUAUCUAGCUAUUUUCAUUUGCUGGCAUAUUGUUGCUCGCUUUUUACUGUUAUUCGUUUCUGUUUCAGGUGUACGAAGGAGCGAUGACGUGGAGGUGCAACACGCGUGGAGGCCUGGUUCCCAGCUGCGGCGUGGACUGUUCCAAAAACCCUAGGGGUUUCUGGAGAUUUCAAAUUGGGCCACUUCAAAUCGGGCUAGGGUUUAAUUAAGUCUAGGAUUGUAUUAGGUCUAGGAUUGGGUUAGAUUUUGGGUUUAGGCCUCAAUCCGAAUUUGGCCUAUUGUAACUGAACUUUUGGACUUAUUAAUGGUUAUUUUGGGUAUUGGGCUAUUAGGGUUUGUUGGGUUUGGGUUUUAGAUAUUUGGGCUGAUUUGUGUUUGUUUAUUUUGGGUUGUUUGUGUAAUUCUGGAAUUUUUAUUUUAUUGGACUUUUAUUUUUUGAUUUGGUUUUUUUUUUGUGUGGGCUCGAGCAGAUUGGGCCUGCUACAAUAUUGAUGCAAAACUUUGUCACUAAAGUGCAAAUUGUAACAAUAGUUAAGUAGUCUUUUGUUCGAAUAACAUUAGAAGCACAUCAAAGUCAAAGCACAUAGACUUUAAGUUCAUUGUUGUUAAAAUAAAAGUUUAGGGUGGUUAGAUGUCUAUAAAGUAUAUUGAGACAAACUCCAUGGUUGUGGAUUCGCUUAUUAAGGGACUACCACCCAAAGCUUUUUUCCUGAGCACACUGUUGAUAUGUGUGUAAUGUCAUUCAAGGAUAUUUGAUUUUAGUAGGAGUUUGUACUUUUAAACGUUUUUAUGUUAUAAAUACAUUUUCAAUUAUUUUAGUUUACAAAUAUUAAGUUUUUUUUUUGUAGAAAGAAAGUUUAUUUGGUAAAGUUUGAUCUCACUAAGAUUAAUGUGGACCGGUUAGAAUAUGCAUGUUUGAAUCAUAUUACAUGUAAUUUUCAUGUUACACAUCCAUACUUAAUCUAUGUCAUUUGGUUGUGCUAAUAUAUGUGAUUAAGGCUGGAUUUAGUUAUGAUAUAUGUAACAAAGUUGCAUUCUUUCUAUGUUAACAUAAUUAAUGGACAGAUUGUUCGAAAUGCCUUUUAGAUACGAUAGUAAAAUUUUGAGCUCAUAAGGUUAUAUAAUGACAUGUAAUUAUAAGGUAAUCGGUAUAUAUAUAUAUGUCAUCCAAGUGGUAUAUAUGGACAUCACAUAUAUAAUAAGCAUGUUACAUGUUAUUAUUUACUAUCAUAAAAGAUUAACUCAAAUUAAAAGUGACCUAAUUUGGUUAAGAUUUAUUGGAUUUUAGUUAUUAAAUAAAAUAUAGGUCAAUAAUAUGUGUAGAUACUCUAGUAACUAAUUUCUAAUUUAUGAUGGGCUGAUUAGAAAUUAGGUUAAUGUGAAAAUGUUAUAUAUUAGGAUUUUAGUCUCCAAGUUACGCAUAUGUAACUUUUCUAAUAUCCCAUCUUGAGAAAAGAGAGAGUCACCUUCUUUAGAUUACUUGUGAGCUAAUUUGGAAGAUCAAAACCUUAAAAUUCGUAGAUUUCAAGAAAUCGGUAAAUUCAAAUACGCUUCUGCAUUUAGUUUUGUUCUUAAUUAUUUGACAUGAUAGAUUCUGAUUUAUUAAGUUUUGUAAAAGAGUUUUACGGUUUUAAUAGGAUAAUUACGAAUCCCAAAUAUAAACUGUAAAACGGACAUGAAGAAUAUAAAAGAAAUAUUACAAGAAUUUUGAAAGAGAAAAUUAAAUUGAAAAUUUUAAUGUUAUUUUUAUCUUUCAUAAUUAUUUUUAUUUAUAUUUUAUUUACAAGAACAUUUUAUUAAGAGUUUAUUAGGAUUAAGUUUAUUUUUACUUUUAUUAAAUAAAUGUUAGACUAAAAAUAAACUUUUUUUUCCACUGUUGGUAUAAUGGAUAGUAGGCUAGGUUGUCCUUUUUUAUUUGUUUAGGCACCCGUGUAUGAGAAUAAUUUAUAUUAGAAUAGUCCUAAAGGUUAAAGAUUUUAAUAUUAAUAAAAUUUUGUCACAUCAUUAAAUUUUAAAAAUAUAAAAUUAUUAUUAUACAUUCGUUCAUAUUAAAUUUACUUUUUAACUUUCGUUCUUCUUAAACAUAAAUAAUUAAAAUAAAAAUAGAAAAAUAGAAUAUUUAAAAUUUAUACAAUCCUUAAAGAUUUAAUCCAAUAUUUUUUUUUGUUUUAAAAAAUGUAUAAUAUGAAAUAGAAAAAAAAAUUAAAAUGGAAAAACUCCAUUGCCUAUAAACUAAUUUUUUUUAAAAAAUUGGUUACAAAAAUUAAAAAUAUUAACUUCUGAAAAAAAACUAAAAAUGAUUAAAAUUUAUAAAAGAAGAAAAGAUGUUUAUUUAUAAUUUAAAAAAAUUAAUUAUUUUAAGUAAUUUAAUUAAAGUUAAAUUAAGUUAAGAAAAAGGAGAAAUGGAUAAGUAUAUAAUAAUACAUAAUUUGUUAAAUAUAUAAAGAAAUUUAUUUGAUUUAGUACCUAAAUAUUAAUAUUCGAAACUCUCGAUUUUUCACAAUUUAUUCAAUCAAAUUUAGAUCCAACUUUAAUUAUAUUACAAAGACAUUCUAUUUUAUUAUUUUAUUAACGGGUGAAAAAACUUAGUUCAACCCAUAAACAUUGACCACAAAGGGAAAUUUGAAACACUUACCACCAAUCCCCUAUCAGAAAGUCUUUCCCACAUUCAACUAGAAAUCAGAGCUCACCAAAAUGUUUAUUCUUUUCAAUCUGAACCGACUCUACAAUCACUUAUUGCUCAUGGUCUUCAGCCUAUAAACCCAGAAGCAUUAUUAACUUCUAAAUCCAAAACACUAAUAUCAGCAUCCAACCCUACAAUGGUAGUCUUAUUGACUCAUUUAAACAAGUUUCCUUUGUCAAUCUAUAUUCCAUAUUGGGUAAUCUCCAAUAUUAAUUCAGAAUUUAGGAUAGCUGGAACAAGAAUAACAGCAAAGAUGCAAAGCGAAACGACUUGUAGGAGGAGGAAGAACCUUCUUUUGGGUACAAACCUGUAUAGCAUAUAAUAGGAUGUCCUGUAUAAUGUCACGAGAGCUAGUACCGUUGCCAAGCAGUAAUUAGUAGUGCUGAGUUUAGAAUAGGAAACGGAUCCAGGAGUCGAAAGAUAGAAAAAAUACUGAAGUGCGAGUGUCCGUAUGGAAACAGCAACCAAAAGCAUGUAACAGGUCCCAAACAAGGAAAGUGUUAUGAGAAUAAACAAGGACAUUGAACGGCUGGGUAGGAGAUACGCUGUUAAAACAGUUGUUGCCCAAAAGGUUAAAGUGUUGUAUAACCAAAACAUUGUGGACACGUCUAGUAUAUUUUCUAUUUUUUUUUCUUCAGCGGGUGGAGGACUUGGUACGGGUCCAGUGCUGGUUGAACCUAAAGAUAUGUCAUACGUGAGAUGGAAAUUCUGGGAAUUUGAAAUGGUAUCAGGCUGCUUUGGAGG
Molecule: long non-coding RNA, 46781 nt
Filed under: Gossypium barbadense (sea-island cotton)
Lineage: Eukaryota; Viridiplantae; Streptophyta; Magnoliopsida; Malvales; Malvaceae
Description: long non-coding RNA (GBAR_LNC020324)
Source: RNAcentral